AAAUUGAGUAUAUGGAGACUGUGUUGAAAUUUAUGAUUUUAUAUGUUAUUGAAAUUGUGGCUUAUGACACUAUGGUAGCAUGAUGGCUAAAUUUUUGGGGUUGGCAUGAAAUAUAUGAACAAUUUUGGAUUGGUCUCGGUAGACUGGAUUAAAUUUUAUUCGCCAUAUUAAGCUACUGGAAAUUUUAUGGGUCUGGUGGUAUAUUAAACGGUCACUGCAGUGGUGGGGGUUUCCGUGGACUGCCUAUGAGAGGGGCACGGUAACUCAAUUAUAUACUUACCUCCGGGGGGAGAUGUUGGGUGAAGUAUCUCCUGAGGUAUGAUUUGAGUGCACCUCACGUUCGGGCCACCACGUGAGAGUGAGACUCAGCCAACGCCAAGGAACGGCUGUGUGUCAAAUGUGGAAACAUGUUUAUGGGUAUGGGUCAUUGAACAGCCUUGGCGGUCUCAGUGGGAAACAUGUAAUCAUAAUCUCACCCUUCUUCCUAUCCAUUUUUCUGGCUCAGGACAGUUUGUUGAUAGUUGAUUAAGACGAAAAUUAAUCUCGGAGUUGCAUCAUAGGAAGUAAGGGUUUGUAGCCCUACAUCUUCUUAGUUAGUUGGGGGCCCACGUGUCACUGAAAAAGUAAUUUUAUUCUUCAGUUAUUUGAUUUAAAGUAUAUAUGAAUAUAUUUAGCUUUUACACCAUGUUUUUGACGAGUUUUGUUAUUUUCGAAGAAAAAUUACGAAAAUGCCCCUGUGAGCCAGAAAGUAAUAUUUUAUUGUUUUGAUUUGGAAAUGACUUAUGAUUUUUUUUGAAAUGUGAAAUUUAAUAACUGUCACUCACUGGGGAGAUGCAGAAGCUGAUGCUAAGCCUUGCGGGAUUUCGAUCGGCAUUCGGGGUAAUGAGUGCCUAUCGGGACGUCGCGGCGGUUGUCACGGGCUAGAUGGGAGUUCCGGGUCGUGACAAACUCGGUUUCUAAACAUCAAUACUUUAUCCUCUCCGAAUUUGAACUCACUGACUCCACCAUUGGUCAGUUUCUGAAUUUUUUUUCUUAACUCAUCAUCAGACCUCUGAAUAUCCUGGACCUGAUCAAGUAACGAAGGUCGCACUAUGAAGCUUGCCAAUAAGGAUCCAUCCUCACCAUUUCUCAAUUGGACCCCAAGAGAUUUCAUCUCUAAUAAUGCUGAAAAAUAACAACUCUGAAGUGCUGUUAAAGACGAUGAAGACUUACGACUUAAGGCAUCAGCUACAACGUUCACCUUUCCCGGAUGAUAGUCUAUCACCAAGUCAUAAUUUUUUAUCAACUCCAACCAUCGCCUUUGCCUCAAAUUAAGCUCCUUCUGAGUGAGCAAAUUUUUUAAACUCUUGUGAUUUGUAAAUAUCCGACAAUGCUCACCAUACAAGUAAUGCCUUUAGAUUUUUAAAGCAAACACCACUACUGCUAACACUAAAUCAUGGGUAGGGUAAUUUGCUUCAUGCCUCUUUAGCUGUCUAGAAGCAUAAGCCACAACUUUUUCAUCUUGCAUUAAUACGCACCCCAACCCCAACUUUGAGGCAUCACUAUAUACUACAAAUCUCUUACCAUUAACAGGAAGUGUUAAAACGGGAGCAGAGGUUAACCGGUUCUUUAGCUCCUGAAAUCGAUUCUCACAAACAUCAUCCCACUCAAACUUAACUCCCUUACGAGUUAGACGGGUCAAAAGAGCUGCUAUUAAGAAAAAACCCUGAACAAACCUCCGAUAAUAAUCGACUAAUAUGAGGAAACUACGAAUCUCCGUCACUGUCUUAGGUUGCUCCCAUUGUAAAAUUGCCUCUAUCUUCUUGGGAUCAACAUAUAUUCCAGCUCUCGAUACUACGUGUCCCAAGAAUACCACUUCUUGUAACCAAAACUCACACUUCGAAAACUUUGCAUACAACUGUCUUUCUCGCAAAGUCUGUAAUACUAUACGCAAGUGGGUAGUGUGCUCAUCAUUAUCUCUCGAGUAAACCAGAAUAUUGUCAAUGAACACAAUAACAAACUUGUCCAAGUAAGGGUGGAACACCCUAUUCAUGAGAUCCAUAAAAGCUGCCGGUGCGUUAGUUAAUCCGAAAGGCAUGACCAAGAACUCAUAAUGACCGUACCGAGUCCUGAACGCUGUCUUGGGUACAUCUUAUUCUUUGAUCCUCAACUGAUGAUACCCAGACCUCAGAUCAACCUUAGAAAAUACUGUAGCUCCCUGUAAUUGAUUGAAAAGAUCAUCAAUCCUGGGUAACGGAUACUUGUUCUUAAUGGUCAUUCUGUUAAGCUAUCGGUAAUCUAUACAUAACCGAAGUGUACCAUCUUUUUUUUCACAAAUAAAAUCGAUGCUCCCCACGGAGAUAUACUAGGGCAUAUAAAACCCUUAUCCACUAACUCUUGCAAUUGUACUUUCAACUCCUUCAACUUUGCCGGAGCCAUUCUAUAUGGAGGAAUAGAGAUAGGGGCAAUACCCGAAAAUAAAUCAAUAGUGAAUUCUAACUCACGAUCGGGAGGAAGUCCCGGUAAUUCAUCAGGAAAUACAUCAGGGAACUCACUUACUACGGGGACGUUCUCUAACUUAGGUUCCUCCCUCGAUAUAUCAAUCACGUGAGCCAAGUAUGCUGGAUAUCCCUUUCGUACCAAUUUCAAAGCUUUGAGGGCCGAGAUUACACAAAACGGUAAUACUCGACGUUCCCCCUUAAAUACCACUUCUGCUUCCUCUAAACUCUGGAGAAUCACUUCUUUCUUAAAACAAUCCACCUUUGCUCGAUGAGUGGACAACCAAUCCAUACCCAAGAUCAAAUCAAAGUCCCGAAUCUCCAAAGGGAUUAAAUCACCCAUAAAUUCUUCUUCCCCAACUUUAAUACCACAGUCUCUAUAAUACGUAUUUCUUACUAACCGCUCGCCUAGAGAAGUAUGCACUAUAAUCUCUUCCUCUAAUGGUGAUAGGUUCCUAUCUGAGAAUGACGCAAAUGAUAUGCUCACGUAUGAUCUAUCGGAGCCUGAAUCUAUCAAAACAUGUGCAUCUCUAUCAAACACAAUCAUAGUACCUGUCGCUGUGCUAGGUCAAACUUGGGCUUCAUCCUCAGUCACUGCAAAAACCCUGGUCAAAAUCUAGGGCUGUGAUUUGGAAUAUGGCUGCUCUAGGGUAUUACUCCCCAUGCCUGACCGUAUCAUUGGGCCCUGUUUGGAUUGUGAUCCCGAAGUGUCUCUCCGCGGUAUACUAGAACGAGUCAGAGAAGUAGAAGUAGUUACUGUACCCCGUCUCAACUGAGGAUAAUCUCUCUUGUAUUGUCACGACCCGGAACCUGCCUCAGGCCCAUGACAAUCGCCGCGACGUCCCAAUUGACACUCAUUAUCCGGAAUGCCAACCGGAACCCCGCAAGGCUUACAUAUCAGUUUAUUUCCUUUCCUAUGAGCAAUCAUUGUUAAAUAUCGAGUUUUUAGAGAAUAUAUACUAUUUUAGAUCAAAAACAAUCAAAAUAAAAUUUUCGCCACACAAGGUUAUUUUGGUCAUUUUUUUCUCAAAAAUUUCGAAACUGGCUAAAACGUAAUGUACAAGUACAAAACACAUAAUUCAUAUUCAAAAUGAGUUUAAAAGUCUAAAAUCUUCAUUUAAAACGAAAUUACAGUUAUUUGAAUAUAAUAAGAAAAUAAAAGAAAUAUUAAGAAAAAUAUUCUAUUUUCUUAUAAAACAAUAUUUAUAGAGUUAUACGUGAAUAAUUUUUAUAGCGUAAAUACAUACUGAAAUACAGUAAGACAAAAUAUUUAAUUUAAUUUACAAUAACAAAAGGGCCCCCGAAUAAACAAAAGUAAAGAGGACUGUGAACCUACGAUUUGGAAAAUGCAGAUCCAAUGGUAGUCCUCGAUGAGAUCAGCUAUCUACAGUCUAUACUGAACCUGAAAUGGGUGGAAAGGAGUUGGGUGAGAUUUUGCAAUCCCAAUGAGUAAACAGACAUUAUCAUAAAUAUCUAAAGGCGAGUAAAAUGGAGGCAAGUUUAAACAACAAAUUUCAACCCAUUUCAUAAUGUUUUCAAUUUAUUUCUUAAACCAUAAAAUAUUUGUAAUUUACCAAAACAGUUGUUAAGGCUUAUGUCUUUUAUUAAAACAAGGCUCAAGCCAAAACUAAUCCUCGGGGAUACCUUGGCCGAGGCAUCUAACCGAGUCCGCCAAGGGUGUUAAAAUAUUCACACGUGAAACACAUUUUUAUUUUUAAAACCAGCCGUUCCUUGGCGUUGGCCGAGUUACACAUUCACGUGGGGGUUCGACGUGAAGUGAGCUCUAAUACUACCCCAGGAGUUACCCUCCUCGCCUCUACAACCGGAGUAACUAUAUAACUGGGUUUACCGUGCCCCUCUAAUAGGCAGUCCACGGAAACCCGUCACUGCAGUGACUAACCCACCAAUUUUAAUAAAAUUUCGACAGUAUAACGUGGCUUUUAUUUAUUUAUCCAGCCUGCAUAGUAAAAACAACUUACAUAAAUUUCCCAAUGCACUCACAAAAUAUAGCCACAUAUACUCAUUUCUCAUAAGCCAUUCCUAGGAAAAUAUAUAUUUUUCAAGUCAAUUUGCAGCCUCCAAUUACUCAAUUUCAUAAUCAAUACAAUAUAUUUUUAUUUGUCACAUUUAUUCCUAAAACAUCAAAAAUCCCGUUUUAAUCUCGUUUUCAUUUCAUAAAAUACAUAAAGGGCAUUUAAAAAUAAACUCUAGAUAAUUUACAAUAAUAAUAAGUUUACUCACCGUUUGUACAAACUAAAAGCUUUCUAAGCGCCCCGAUCACUACUCGUCGGGUACGACUUCUUUGCCUUUUCCGGAAGGCUCUCCUCCUAGACACAUUACAAAAAUUUACACAAUUCAUCACAUUGAUGCUAAAUCACUAUAUAAUUAACUUAAAUCCUAUACUAAUGCAUGGUAUGAAAUGCAAUAGCCUAAAACGGCUUAAACGCGGUAUUAACCUAUUUUUGGCACUUUGCCCGAUAAAUUGCUAACGCGCUCCAUUUUAGCUCUAAAUCAUCCCAUUCUCUCUCCAACAUUUCUAACCAUUAAAUAUCAGCCAAUAACCUUCUAAAAACAACAAAAUCAGCUCACUCCCUUCCUUGGAAAAUUCGGCCAAAAAUGGGACAUUAACUCGGUUAAUUUUCUACUUUGUUUUUCUAUCACGUUUAAUCGUUUUUCAUCAUUUUCUCUUCAUUUUCCUUAGAAUAAAAUCAAUUCAUCAUCAUUGUACAGCAUUGAGCAUCCAGCCAAGAGUGGGUAUUGUGAAAAUUUAAUGAUUUCUUGCCCAAUUUAAUUUCUAAACACAUUUAACUAACUAAAACUAUCAAUUUAACUAAAAAUCAAAACCUAAAAAUUUCAAUUUCUCUCCCCUAGAAUUUCGUCCAGCCCUUGAUAUCACUUUUUGAUCUCUCUCCUCAAGCAUGCUAAAUGGAAAUAAAGGCAUAGGAAAGGUAGAAAUCAAGCUAAAAUCGAAAAAUCUUACCGUUAGACGCGUAAACGGUCGAAAAUCGUGAAUUUCCCUUUGAAUUUUUUUGUUUCUCUUUGGUUUUUCUUUUUUUCUUCCUUUCCUCUCUAUUUCCUCUCUUGUUCUUCCUUAUGGCCAGCCAGCACUUAAAAUUUGGGUUAAAAUGGGCUGACUUUUCAUUAAAAUAAUAUUAUAUCAUUAAAAAAUGCCACAUGUCACUUUCCCAUUGGCCCAUUUUUAAAAUUUCAUCCAUUUGUUUUCAAAUUUUCACCAUACACUUGUCUCAUAUAUUCAUAGCUUAGAUAAAAUUCUCAGACUCAUCCAAAGUCUCGGUGGAGUAAUUUUUGAAAUUUAAACUUUUGCCCCCGUAAAAGUCAAAAAUUACAUUUUUGCCCCAAAAAUUGAAAAAUUGCCCAUAGACAUAUUUUUCAUCUCUUAUACUCAUACCAUUCUCCAAUUUGUCAAAUUUGAUCUAAAUUCUCUCAAAAUCUCAAAUUUUGUCCGUGGGUGGCAAAAUUACGAUUUUGCCCCUACACUCCAAAAAUCACCAGAAUUAAACUUUUUCACUUCCUAUCAUUAAAUUAUACUCCAAAUAGUUAAUCUUGGUCAAAAUUUUCACUUCAUGAUCAAAUUAUUAUCUUAGGUGGCAAAAUGAUGAUUUUGCCCUUGAAUAUCAAAAUUUCUAAUUUUACCCCAAAUGAACCCUCGAACUCCGAACAAUCAUUUUUAGUCAUUCUUGGACUAUAAAAUAUUAAAUUUUAUCCUAAAAUUCCUAUUUGAACUAGUUAGAGGUUAAAUCAACUCAAGUGUACCAUUAGGUACAAUACCGAGUUUCGUCUAUUCUUAGGUGCUUUUCCUAGCAUAAUAACAUACUACUCAGUGCAUGUAUGUCAUGACAUGUAUUUAUAGGGUCAGGUUUUACAUGUAUGCCCCUGUUGGUCGAAUUGAAAACACUUUACAGGCUGUCUAGAUGACCCAACAUGAAAUCCUCCGCAAUUACGGCAUCUGUCCAAUCCUCCUGAAGUCCCCCCUUGUCUACUCAUCACUGGCCGAUCAAAUCCAGAAGAUCUCGACUGUGACUGCUGAGAUGGAGGUCUAGUGGAUGCCAUAGACGCUGAGGUAGUACUUCCUGCAGUAGAUGUCGAAUCUCUGCCUCUCUUUGAAGACUGACCCGGGAACGUAGGCGGAUUCUUUCUCUUUGCGAACUCAGCUCGAAUCCGUCUAUUCUUAGUGGUGAGCUUCUUAGCCCGUAAGGCCAUCUGCACGACUUCCUUAUGUGGCUCCCUACUAGUCACUGUCAUCCGUUCCCUGAUCUCAUUAUGGAGCCCUUCCUCAAAAUAAUUGGCCUGAUCCUGCUCAGAUUUCACCAGAUCCUACACAUUAACAUCAACUCGUUAAAACGAGUCUCAUACUCCUCUACAGUUAGAUUUCCUUGUUUCAAGCUCAGAAAUUCUCUUUUCAUUUCUUUAUGAUGAAAGUAAGUAAAAUACUGACCAUCAAAUUCUCUGAGGAAGUCAAACCAUGUCUGAAGAGUAGUGGAACGGGACUUCACCGAAUUCCACCAAGUACGAGCCCUCUUCUCUAGUAAUCUAGUAGCCACCAUUAGCUUCAUAUCGUCAUCUAAUCUCAUAUCAGAAAGAGUCUCCGAAACUUGAUUAACCCAAUCUUUAGCUGCGGUCGCAUCCAACUCACUAGUAAAUGAGACGCAACCCAACUGUCUAGCUUCUUUCAAUUUCUUAGAAAUGGAGACGUCCGGUGUCUUGGGUGGAAUAGGAGGUGGUGGUACUAGGGCUGUUACAGGGGAAUCAACGGGUGGAACUGGACCAGCUUAAGCCUGGCCCGUAAGAGCAACGAGAAAAGCCGUUAAUGCUUGAGCUGCCUCGGGUGACAUGGCAGGUACGCAAGGAGUAGCAACAGGUGGUGGAGGAGGUAUAGGAAUGUCAGUAGACUUAGUAGUAGGAACUGCUCUAAAAGAAGAUGUAGCCGACUCCUCUUCUUUGGAAUGCGAUCGACUCUGUCUAGGGCGACCUCUUCCCCUACCGGUAGAUCUAGUGAUAGGUGGUAGCUCACGUCGAGGAGGCAUAAUGGUCUACAAAAAGAACGAAAUUGGUUUAGACUACUAAAGACUCUAUAUGCAAUUACAUGCAACUAACUAAUCUUAAUUGGGCCACACUGACAUUGUAAAUUAUUUUAAAAUAACUUUAAAUUCAAGAACUUUAAAAAUCAAAAACUUCUUUCAAAACCAUAAGUUUUUAAACCAAAAGUUCUGAUACCAACUGAAUUGUCACAACCCGGAACCUCCCUCGGGCCCAUGACAACCUCCGCGACGUCCCGAUUGACACUCAUUAUCUGGAAUGCUAAUCGGAACCCCGCAAGGCUAAUGAAUCAGUUUCUUGCCUUUCCUGUGAGCAAUCAUUGUUAAAUAUCGAGUUUUAAGAAAAUAUAAAUUAUUUUAGAUCGAAAACAAUCAAAAUAAAAUUUUCACCACAUAGGGGUAUUUUGGUCAUUUUUACCAAAAAAUUUGGAAACCUGAUAAAGAUACAACGUAUGGUAGAAAAAUAUCCACUGCCAAUUAAAAAUAAAUUUUUGUAAUUUAAAUCAUUCAUUUAGAGUGAAAAGUUGGCUAAUUAAACUAAAUAAAAAUAUUUGAGAAUAUAUUUCAUUUUCUUAUAAAAUAAUUUUUAUAAAACUAUACAUAAAUAAUUUUUGUAGCGUGAGAAUAAAAUAAAUUCACACAUACAAUAAUUUACAAAAUUAUAAUGUACAAUAAUAAUUACAAUGACAAGUGGCCCAUAAAUACACCCAGUAUUGGUGAUAGUAACCUAUUGUCUGUGGGAUAGAGGGGUUAACUGGAAUCCUCGAUAAAAUCGAAUAUCUACAAGCUACCACAGGCUUGAAAUGUUUGGAAAGGAGGUGGGUGAGAUUUUGCAAUCCCAAUGAGUAAACAAACAUUAUCAUAAAUAUCUAAAGGCGAGUAAAAUGGAGGCAAGUUUAAACAACAAAUCACAAACCAUUUCAUAAGGUUUUCAAUUUCUUUCUUAAACCAUAAAACAUUUGUAAUUUACCAAAACAGUUGUCAAGGCUUAUAACCUUUAUUAAAAACAUGGCUCAAGCCAAAAUCUAGUCCUCGGGGAUACCUUGGCAUAGGCAUCUAACCGAGUCCACCAAGGUUGUUAAGAUAUUUACAUGUUAAACACAUACUAGUUUUGAAAACAAACCGUUCCUUGGCGUUGGCCGAGUUACACAUUCACGUGGGGGUUCGACGUGAAGUGAACUCUAACACUACCCCGGGAGUUACCCUCCUCGCCUCUAAAACUGAAGUAACUAUGAAACUGGGUUUACCGUGCCCCUCUAAUAGGCAGUCCACGGAAACCCGUCACUGUAGUGACUAAACCCACCAAUUUUAAUAAAAUUUCGACAGUAUAACGUGGUUUUUAUUUAUUUAUCCAGCCUGCAUAGUAAAAGACAACUUACAUUAUAUUCCCAAUGCAGUUAUAAAAUAUAGCCACAUAUACUCAUAUAUCAUAAGCCAUUCAUAAGAAAAUAUAUUUUUCAAGACAAUUGGUAACCUCCAAUUACUCAAUUUCAUAAUCAACAGAAUAUAUUUUUAUUUGUCACAUUUAUUUCUAAAACAUCAAAAAUCCCAUUUUAAUCUCAUUUUUGUUUCAUAAAAUGCAUAAAGAGCAUUUAAAAAUAAACUCUAGAUAAUUUACAAUAAUAAUAGAUUUACUCACCGUUUGUACAAAUGAAAUGCUCUUUAAGUGCCCCGAUCACUGUUGGUCAGGUACGACUUCCUUGCCUUUACUGGAAGGCUCUCCUCCUAGACACAUUGCAAAAUUUACCCAAUUCACCACAUUGAUGCUAAAUCACUAUAUAAUUGACUUAAAUCCUAUACUAAUUCAUGGUAUGAAAUGCAAUAGCCUAAAAUGGCUUAAACGCGGUAUUAACCUAUUUUUGGCACUUUACCCGAUAAAUUGUUAACGCGCUCCAUUUUAGCUCUAAAUCUCCCCAUUCUCUCUCCAACAUUUCUAACCAUUAAAUAUCAGCCAAUAACCUUCUAAAUUCACCAAAAUCAGUUCACUUUCCUCCUUGAAAAAUUCGACCAAAAAUGGGACAUUAACUCGGUAAAUUUUCUACUUUGUUGUUCUAUCACAUUUAACCAUUUUUCUUCAUUUUCUCUUCAUUUCUCUUAGAAUAAAAAUCAGAUCAUCAUCAUUGUACCUCAUUGCAGAUUCGACCAAGGGUGGGUAUUGGGAAUAUUUAAUGCUUUCUUGCCCAAUUUAAUUUCUAAACACAUUUAACUAACUAAAACUAUCAAUUUAACUAAAAAUCAAAACCUAAAAAUUUCAAUUUCUCCCCCAUUGAAAUUCGGCCAGCCCUUGAUGUCAUUUUUAGAUCUCUCUCCUCAAGCAUGCUAAAUGUAAACAAAGGCAUAGGAAAGGUAGAAAUCAAGCUAAAGUCAAAAAAUCUUACCGUUAGACACGUAAACGGGCGAAAAACGCGAAUUCCCCUUUGAAUUUUCUUGUUUCUCUUUGGUUUUUCUUUUUUUCUUCCUUUCCUCUCUAUUUUCUCUCUUGUUCUCCCUUAUGGCCUGCCAUCACUUAAAAUGGGGUUUAAAUGGACUGACUUUUCAUUAAAAUAAUAUUAAAUCAUUAAAAAGUGCCAUGUGUCACUUUCCCAUUGGCCCAUUUUUAAAAUUUCGUCUUUUAAACUUCAAUUUUUCACCACUUAACAUACCAUAGUUGUUCAUACCAAAAAUAAAUAAAUCCUAUGAUUUUGACAAGCUUUGGGUGGUGAAAAUUACGGUUUUUACCUCGAGACGACAAAAUUAUCAUUUUGCCCCUAUGUUUCGAAAAUUGCCGGAAUUGAAAAUUUUCACUUCCUAUCAUUAAAUUAUACUCCAAAAAGUUAAUCUUGGUAAAAAAUUUCACUCCAUGAUCAAAUUAUUAUCUUAGGUGGCAAAAUGAUGAUUUUUGCCCCUAAACAUCAAAAUUUUCAAUUUUACCCCUAAUGAACCCUCGAACUCCGAACAAUCAUUUUUAGUCAUUCCUGGACUAUAAAAUAUUAAAUUUCAUCCUACAAUUCCUAUUUGAACUAGUUCGAGGUUAAAUCAACUCAAGUGUACCGUUAGGUACGAUACCGGGUUUCAUAUAUUCUUAGGUGCUUUUCUAGCAUAAUAACAUGCUACUCAGUGCAUGUAUGUCAUGACAUGUGUUUAUAGGGUCGGAUUUUACAGUAUAGAUGAUAACUUCCAGUAGGGGAGAGGUUAAAACCAAUCAUCUCAACACAAAUGAUCACUUCCAAUAGGAGAGAGGUUCUAUACUUAAUGUCUGAACAAUGGAAAAAUAACACUUUAACACUUCUCUAGUACAGCGACUAGUUUUUUUUAUUAAUUUAUGACAUUUUAUGGUGUACAAUAUUGAAAAAGCAUUUUCCACUCUGCUUCACUAGUUCGUGGGAGCCAUAUGUAACACCCAUAAUUUUUGAUAUGAACUAUGUAAGGUGAACCAAGCUAACUAAUGAGCGAAAUUGAAUCUUUGGUGUAUAUGUUUAAGAAUUCAAAAAAUGACUAUGUCCAUAGAGAGAUGGUCAAGGAAUGUAUUAGUAUGUAAAAACCAAAAUAAUGUUAUGCAUAUGCUUGGCCCAUGAAUGAUAUAGUGCAUAUAUUUGGCACUAAGAUGAGUAUGAUAUGUAUGCAAAUUAUGCCAUGUUAAUUGAUAUGAUAUAUGACAUAGAGAAUGAAUGAGAGUUGGUGUGCAUGAUGGACUUAUGUGUUGAUUUUAAGUGAAACAUGAAUGAUUGGAGGUUGUGGGGAAGAUUUGGAAUGAUUUUAGGCUUCAAAAGACCAACUUUUAUGAAUUUGGACCUAAGGAUUUGAUCUUAGUGCACGUAGGAUCAAAUCUGCGAAGUAAAGAUUAGGUGUAAAUGAUAGCACUAGCCCAAGAUUGAGUACAGAACCCUUGUAGUUGAUCUUAGGGCAAUAAAUGAGAUUUAGGGUAAAAAGUCUAGUCCGAAAUCGAGUACCAAGCUCCCAUAGUUGAUCUUGAGGUGUCAAGUCAGCAAAAAUCGAGCUUUAAAGCCCUAAAAUCGAAAAAUCCUUCAUUUCUCCUAUUUCUUCAUUCUCUCAUCUGAAUUUUCUCAAAUUUCACCUCACUCAAAACCUUCACACUCUAAUGCGAGAUCUUAGAUUUGAAGAGCUAAAAGUGAGAGAUUUCACUCCAAAAAGCUUGUUUGAGGAUUUUCACUUUUUGUCUCUAAAACCAAACCCUAGCUUCCAAAAAUGAAUUUUUGAAGCACUUGGAAUUAUUUGGAGUAAAUAUGGAGCUAGGGAAUACUUCUAGAGGUAAGAUUGAGCACUUUGACCAAUUGAUUUUUUUGAACAAUUGGUAACUUAGAUUCAAAUUGAUAUAGCUUUGGUGAAAAAUAGCCCCCUUGAGUUGAUUGUAUAUUUGGGGUAAAUAAUAGCACAAUCCAACUUCUAAUGUAUGGAUUAGCUCAUUGUUGAAGGAUUUGAAUUCAUUUGUUGAGUUGCUAAAAAUUUAGCUAUUUUUAAAAAAGUUGGAAAUAAUCUGAAAGCUAAGAUUUGGUUAUGAAAUGAAAAGUUAUGGCAUAAAUGUUAAUGCUCAUGUAUUGUUGAUGCUAGAUGAUCAUGAGAAUGACAAUGAUGCUCAAGUACUAAGUGUACGAAUUAAAGCUAGGCAUAAGUGAGUUGCAAGUACAAGUGUUGACAAAAAACCCUUGGAUUGUCAAGGUAAGUGGGAAAACUUUUAUGCAUAGGAGCAUAAUGACUAGGGUGCAUAUAUGCUUUAAUAAUGAUAAUGCAUAAUGUAUGCCAUGUAUGAGCUAUGAGCAUGUCUAAAGGUAGAAUUCCUAGACUAGAAAGUAUGUGAAAAUGAUGUGAUACGCCUAAAGGGUUAUGCCUAGGCUAAUGAUGUUAAUAUGAAUGAGUACAUGAUGAAUACGUUUAGAAAUGCUAUGUCUAGACUAGUGAAUGCGAUGAGAAUUAUGGAAUCACCGAGAAGGAUUGUUUGAGGCUAAUUAAUUAACAUGUUAAUGAUUAUAUGCUUGAGAUGAGAAAUAAGGUAUGGUUACGAAUGAUUGAAUAUGUCAUGAUGACUAGUAUGAUGAAUUAUAAUUGUGUUGAGAAAUAUGUUUCGUCCGUGGAUGAUUCUGGACGAUGAUAUGAUGUGAGAUAUUUAUGUUUCGUCCAUGGAUGAUUCCAGAUGAUGAUUGAUGUGAGAUAUGUUGUUUAGUCCAUGGAGGAUUUCUGAACAAUGGGUAUUAUGAGGUUGAGUGUGUCCAUAUCCUUGUGACUAUGUAUGUUCCGGCGGCAGGGAUGGUUGUUUUGUCUCGCCUGUGAUUCCUGCUACAGUGCGAUGAUGACUACGUCCAUGCCUUGGGGACGAUGGUAAAUAAAGGCAGUGGUUGAAAAUCCCACCUACUCCAAAUGAUGAUUGUGAUGCCACCUGUGGAGAAUACUCUGGGUGAUGUCAUUCGUUGGGAUAUUGUCUCUUACAAAAAUUGUGAUGCCGUUCAUGGAGAGAUUGCAUCGGAUGAUGACUUUGAUAUUCUACCAUUAGCUUUAGCACUAGGUAUGAUUUGUUUCUCUAUCGGUUGGCCACCAUGCGUGAUUUGUUGAUAUCCAGGGGAGAACCAUUCUUUGAUAUGAUAGGAUGACUAUGCAGUGGCAUGCCUUAGAGUUUGAAAUGUGAAAUUUGUUAUAUGAUGUUAUGAAAUGAUAAUUAAUGUAAAGGCUUUAGAUAAGAGCCAUAUGUAAUUGAUAUAUGAUCAUGAUGUGUUCUAUGCUCAAAGAGCUUAUGAUUUAGCAUUGAAGUGGGCGCUUUAAGGUAGACGACCAUAUGGUGGGCUGAUUCGUAUGAUAAAUUAAACUAUUAAGAGGUUGUGUUGAUAAUGAUAUUAAAUGAGUAGGGUGAUGCUGAUUAUACCACCUUAGUAUGCUAAUAGCCAAAGAUAUGAAACGUAGUAUGGCUACCAUGAUUAUGAUAGGCUAUGCUCGACAGGUGACAACUGACUUGUCAUAUAUGUAUAUGUAUUAUGAUGUAUGAAAUGCAUACCUGAUAGAAGAUAUGUGUAGCAACUAUCACUGCACAUUUACAACUGUUUUAUGCUCCCACUCACUGAGUACUAGUGUGACUCACCCAUUUCGGUUGUAUUGUGCAGAUAAAUAGACAAGAAGGAUUAGUGGCUAAUGUUGUCAUCUAGACAAACAUGCAAUUUUGACAACUGGUAGGUUUUUUUGCUAAUGAACACUUUGUUGCGUCAUGGUUUGAGUCUUAGUCUAUGUACGCUUUUGUGAUGUAAAUAAAGUAUGUCAUAAAAGAAAUAUGAUGGCAUGCAAUUGCCCUAUGGAUGUUUAAUGCCUUAGUGAAUUAGCCAAUGUAUUGUUAUGUGUAUGUUAUGUUUAAGUCCUGAAAAUUAUUACGAGUUGAGAGACUAAUGCUAAAUGCUAAAGGAUUUAUGUUUAAUGAAAUGAUAUUGGCGAUGAGGCCUUAUGAUUCUAAUAUAUGUGUUUAUUAGGACUUAACUAUGAAGGCUUCCUCGAGUUUCGCGGGCUUGCUUGCCAGGCUCGUGCAUGCCAGUCAUAGCUCCCUAGAUUUGGGUGGUGACACUGUAGUUUCCAGGUGAGUGGAUUUAUUUUAUAUAAAAUUGGUUAGGAUCUAUAAUCGACUUCAAGUCUUCUUAUUCUUUUUAGAAUGGCUCUAAGUUUAAGGUAUCUCAUCAACACAAAACUUAUGCUGAUGGGGUUAAGGCUGAUGGGGUUAAGGGUGUUGGUGAUAAUUGUAUUUUAUAAAAUUAUUUUAGUCUAAUUUUGUUAUUAAAUAUUAGCUAAGUCCUCAAUUUUUAAUUAUAAUUUACUUAUUUUUAGUUAUUUUUUUAUAAUUAGCUUAUUUUUAAGUGAGUUAUUUUAAUUUUAUGUUAUUUCUUUUAAUUUGAUUGUUAUUUAUCAGUUUUUAUAUUUUUCGUAGAAGCUAAAGAAAUUGGGCUUAAUUUUGGAAAAUAAGGUGUUGAAAGAGCUCGAAGUCUAUUUGCAUAUGCUUCAGUGUUUUGGCCAUAACUCGCGCUACAGAACUCCAAAUGAUGCGAUUCUUGAACCAUUGGAAAGCUAAGAGACAAAGAUACAACUUUCAUGAGAUCAAUUUACCCAGUUAUACCUCAAAGAUAAAGAAAAUUACAUCAGAAAUGGUUGGAUGUACUAUGUUGGGAAUGGAUAUUUUUAAGGACUGACAAUUGAGUUUUUAGGCCUGUCAUUACACUUUUAAGCCCAAUUAAAUCAUAGGUCAAAUUAGGGAACUAUAGGUUAAGUUUAUUAGUAUAAAUAGGAAAUUUUUAAGAACAUUAAGGGAGAGAACUUUUGGGAGACUCAAGAAGCUAGAAGUUGAGGCUGAAACUUGGAGAGCAAGGCAUCAAAUAUUUGUUUUGUUUUCUUCCUUGGCUUUUAUUUUUCAUGUUCCUCUCAAUGGUUGAAAUUAUUAUAAUGUUACUUGUCUUUGCAAUCAUGAGUAGCUAAUUUUUUUUCUAGGAUUGCAAUUGAACUUACAUGUAAUUUAAAUUUUUAAUCUCUUUCUUACUUAUCUUUAAUAAGAUUUGAAUUAUUUAUUCCAAUUUGUUCUUAACGCUCCUAAUUGCUUGGCCACCAAUUAAAUUGAUUUAGGAAUCUAAACAAACUUGAGAAAGGGAGUUUAGUGUAGACUAAAAUUGGGAUAGCAUAUGAUCAUAUUAAUUGAUUUACGUAUAGGAUAGGGAUAUACCUAUAAGCCAUAGGUAUUCAAAUUAGAACCUAAACUUAAUGAAUCUAUUUCCAUUUCAAUUCACAUAGGGAUAUACUGUUUUGGCUAAAAUAGAUAUUUUUAUAAGAUGAGUAGAGAGACCCUUAUAAAUAAUUUAGGACUCUAAGUUAGAAAUUAAACCCAUUGAAAUAAAGAAAGAGAAGUAAAAUUUAGAUGAAGUGUGAGGGAUAUUGUAAUCCUAGGCUUGUUUGAUUUGAUAUUUACUCAAGUUAUUAUUAUUUUGAUUUUUCAUAGUUUAAAUUUUGGUUAAGUAUUUUUAGUUAGUUAAUUUAGUUAUUUGAUAUUGAUUAUUUGGAUAAGAUUAAAUUGUUCUAAUUUUAGUACUUAGUAAAAUUUUAGAUCAAUUUUCCGUUGGAUCGAUACUUUGCUUACUUAUAUACUAUNCCGUUUGGAUUCGAUACUUUGCUUACUUAUAUACUAUUUAUUCAAUACGUGUACUUGCGUAGUAGAAUUUUAACUGACAAGUUUGUAGCGUCGUUACCGGGGAGUUGUUUCUAAAAUUUAUGCUAAUACAAGUACUAAGCAAUUUAGUCUUACUUCAAAUUUUAUUUUUCUUGUUUUAAUAUUAGAUUUUGUUUGUUUGCAGAUAUUUUUGGUCAUUGUAUGCAAUAAAGAAACAACUUGAAUCUUAUUCUUUUUGAUCUUGAGAUAGAAAGAACUUUCAGAAGACAUCGAAGGGAAAAUUUGCAAGUUUUGGCUUUAAAUCAGACAAUGGUUGAGGAUAACAAUAACAAUGGCAAUAAUGCCAUGAAUCUGGUUUCCGAAGCAAAUAGAGCACUAUGAGAUUAUGUUGUUCCUCUUUUGCGAGGUUUGAACCAAAGCAUUAGGAGACCUUCCAUCAAUGCAAAUACUUUCGAAAUUAAACUAGCAUACAUUCAGAUGAUUUAGUCUUCAGUCUAGUUUGGUGGGUUAACCAGUGAUUAUCCUAAUUCUCAUUAGGUAAAUUUCCUAGAGAUUUGUGAUACCUUUAAAUACAAUGGAGUAACUGUUAAUGCUAUUAGAUUGAGAUUGUUUUCAUUUUCUCUGAGGCAUAAAGUAAAGAGCUAGCUUAAUUCACUGCUCAAUGGGUCUAUCACUACAUGGGAAGACUUGGCUCAAAAGUUUCUAGUAAAAUUUCUUUCACCUGCCAAGACUGCAAACAUGAGGAAUGAUAUCACCUCAUAUACACAAUUUAAUGAUGAAACCUUGUAUGAAGCUUGGGAGAGGUUUAAAGAACUACUGAGAAGAUGUCCUUAUCAUGAGAUUCCUGAAUGGUUGCAAGUUUAGACAUUCUACAAUGGGCUGGUUGGGUCAAUAAAAACCAUAAUUGAUGCUGCUACUGGUGGGGCAUUAAUGAGUAAGAAUGCUGCAGAUGCUUAUAAUUUGUUGGAAAAAAUGGUCUCAAAUAAUUAUCAAUGGCCUUUAGAAAGGUCUAGUCUGAGAAAAGCUGUUGGAGCUUAUGAAAUUGAUGCAUUUGGCACUUUAACUGCUCAAGAAGCUGCGCAAGUGGCUGCACUGUCCAAGAAGUUUGACACACUGAGAGUUCCUCUAGUUCAAAAUUCAUUUGUAGUUUGUGAGAUGUGUGGAGAUGGCCAUUCAAAUGAUCAAUGCCCAUACAAUUAUGAAUUAGUCCAAUUAUGGGGAAUUUGAAUAGACAGUAGAAUAACCCAUAUUCUAAUACUUAUAAUCCUGGUUGGAGAAACCACCCCAACUUUUCAUGGAAUAACAAUGCAGGGCCUUCUAAUCCAAAACCCAUCAUGCCUCCUGGUUUUCAACAAUAAGCUAGAAUCAGUCCAAUUUGUGGGGAACUUCAAUAAAUAGCAGAAUAACCCAUAUUCCAAUACUUAUAAUCCUAGUUGGAGAAACCAUCCCAACUUUUCAUGGAAUAACAAUGCAAGGCCUUCUAAUCCAAAACCUAUCACGCCUCUUGGUUUUCAACAACAAGCUAGACCAUAAAUUCCUGAAAAGAAGUCCCAAUUGGAAAAACUUCUCUUGUAAUAUAUAUCCAAGAUUGAUGCUAUAAUUCAAAGUCAAGGAGCCUCCUUGAGAAAUCUUGAGACCCAAGUGAGACAACUUGCAAAUUCCAUCAACAAUAGACCUCAAGGUUCCUUACCCAGUGACACACAAAUGAAUCCUAAAAGUAAGGAACAAUGCCAAGCAAUCACUUUAAGGAGUGGAAAAGAGAUUGAAGGGGUGAAUGGAAAAGUAGGUGAAUCUGAGAAUGAGCAUGUUGAUUAGGAAGGAAUGUGAGAAUUAGAUUGAAAUUGAGCAAAAAGAAGAUGACAAGGCUAAAAAUCAAAGAACCUCUCAAGUCAUCCAUCCUCCACCACCUUUUACCCAAAAGUAAAAGCUUGAAAAGUAAUUUCAAAAGUUCCUCAAGGUCUUCAAGAAAUUACACAUAAAUAUUCCUUUUGCUGAAGCUUUGGAACAAAUGCCUAGCUAUGUCAAGUUCUUGAAGGACAUCCUCUCCAAAAAGAGAAAGCUAGGUGAGUUUGAAACUAUCUCCCUUACAGAAGAGUGUAAUGCAAUUCUCCAAAAUAAAUUACCACCAAAACUCAAAGAUCUAGGUAGUUUCACAAUCCCUUGCACUAUUGGUAAUUUAUUUUUUGCAAAAGCAUUGAGUGAUUUAGGUGCAAGUAUCAAUUUAAUGCCUUGGUCAAUUUUUGAGAAACUUGGCUUGGGGGAAUGCAAACCCACUUCUGUUACUUUACAACUGGUUGAUCAUUCUUAUGUGUACCCAAGGAGAAUUAUGGAAAAUGUUCUUGUCAAGGUAGAUAAAUUUAUUUUUCCAAUUGAUUUUAUAAUUCUUGACAUGGAAAAUCAUCCUUAAGAAGCCAUUCUUAACAACUGUUAGAGCUUUGAUUGAUGUUGAAAAAGGUGAGCUUACUUUAAGAGUUCAAGACCAACAUAUAACAUUUAAUAUUUUCUAAGCUUUUGAAAUUGCCUGUGACAUCUAAAGACUGCUUUUUGUGAGUGUGGUAAAUAACUUUACACAAGAUGUUUUCUUAGAAGAAAAUCCCAAUGAUCCUCUUGAAGCAUGUUUAGUUGCUAAUUCUGAAAUGGAUGAUGAUGAAUUUAUUGAAUAUUUAAAUUUGUUAAAUGCUCACUCUAGAUUUAAAACUAAUCAUCAAUUUGAAUCUUUAGAUGUUUCAGCUUCUUUGAUGCCAGCUUCUAAGCCCUCAAUUGAGGAACCACCUACUUUGGAACUUAAACCUUUGUCUGUACACUUGAGGUAUGCUUUUCUUGGAAAAUCUUCUACUCUUCUAGUUAGUAUUUCUACUGCUCUUACUAACAUGUAAGAGGAGAAGUUAUUAAGGACACUUAGAGAAUUCAAGAAAGUAAUAGGGUGGACCAUAGCUAAUAUUAAAGGAAUUAGCCAUUCGUUUUGCAUGCACAAAAUUCUCCUUGAUGAAAAUCACAAAGCGACAAUUGAACAGCAAAAAAGAUUGAAUCUUAUCAUGAAAAUAGUAGUCAAGAAAGAAAUCAUUAAGUGGUUGGAUGCCAGAAUAAUUUAUCUUAUUUAUGAUAGCUCAUGGGUAAGUCCAGUUCAAUGUGUUCCUAAGAAAGGAGGAAUGACUGUGGUUUCCAAUGACAAUAAUGAGCUCAUUCCAACAAGAGCUGUGACUGGAUGGAGAGUGUGCAUGGACUACCAUAAGCUCAACAAAGCUACAAGGAAAGAUCACAUCCCUUUUCCAUUCAUUGAUCAAAUGUUGGAUCGUCUGGCUGGUAAGGAAUAUUAUUGUUUUCUAGAUGGUUACUUUGGUUAUAACCAAAUUGUUAUUGCUCCUGAAGAUCAAGAAAAGACUACAUUUACAUGUCCUUAUGGCACUUUUGCUUUUAGAAGAAUGCCAUUUGGAUUAUGUAAUGCACUUGCCACCUUUCAGAGAUAUAUGAUAGCCAUGUUCACAAACAUGGUGGAGAAAUGUUUGGAGGUAUUUAUGAAUGAUUUUUCUAUCUUUGGAAAUAAUUUUGAUGAUUGUCUCUUAAAUUUUGCUAGGGUACUUAAGAGAUGUGAAGAAACAAAUUUGGUGCUUAAUUGGGAGAAAUGUCACUUCAUGGUGCGAGAAGGUAUUGUUCUUGGGCACAAGAUCUCUAAUAGAGGCAUUGAGGUAAAGAAAGCAAAAAUUGAAGCAAUUGAGAAAUUACCACCUCCAAUAAAUGUCAAAGGUAUUAGAAGUUUUCUUCGUCAUGCUGGUUUUAUAGAAGAUUUAUUAAAGACUUUUCAAAAAUUUCUAAACUACUUUGCAACUUAUUGGAAAAAAAUGUGCCAUUUAAGUUUGAUAACGAAUAUCUUAUUGCUUUUGAUGAAUUGAAGAAAAGAUUAAUAUCUACACCUAUCAUAAUUAGUCCCAAUUGUACUUUCCUUUUUGAACUAAUGUGUGAUGCGAGUGAUUAUGUGGUGGGAGCUAUUUUAGGACAAAAGAAAGAUAAAAUCUUUCAUUCCAUCUAUUAUGCUGGCAAGACUUUGACUGAAGCCCCAGAAAAAUUAUACUACAACAAAAAAUGAGCUUUUGGCUGUAGUUUUUGCUUUUGACAAAUUUUGCUCCCAUCUUGUAGGGACAAAGGUGAUAGUAUUCACUGCUCACUCAGCUAUCAAAUAUUUGAUUGCUAAGAAAGAUGCCAAGCCAAGAUUGAUAAGGUGGAUUCUCUUGCUUUAAGAACUUGAUCUUGAGAUUUGUGAUCGAAAAUGAACAAAAAAUCAAGUGGCAGACCACCUCUCAAGAUUGAAGAUUGAAGCUCGAGGUAAGAAUUCAACCUUAAUUAAGGAGACUUUCCCUGAUGAACAAUCCUUCAGGUUGGUAAGAAAUCACUUCUUUGGCAUGCUGAUUUUGUGAACUAUCUGGUAAGCAAUAUUAUUCCCUUUGAUUUAAAUUUUUAUCAGAAAAAGAAAUUUUUACAUGAUGUUAAAUUUUAUUUUUGGGAUGAGCCUUACUUGUUCAAGCAGUGUAAAGACUAGAUCUUUAGAAAAUGUGUCCUGGAAGAAGAAAUUCAAAGUGUGCUUCACGAUUGCCAUUCUUUAGAUUAUGGAAGACACUUUGGAGGAAUAAGGACUACUACUAAAGUCCUCCAAUCAGGUUUGUAUUGGCUUACAUUAUUUAAGGAUGAUCACAAGUUUGUUUUGCAUUGUGACAGGUGCCAAAGAGUGGGUAACAUCUCAAGGCAACAUGAGAUGCCUCUCAACAACAUCCUUGAGAUAGAAAUUUUUGAUGUAUGGGGUAUUAACUUCAUGGGUCCAUUCAUAUCUUCAUACAACAACAAAUACAUCUUGCUUGCUGUUGAUUAUGUCUCCAAGUAGGUUGAAGCGGCAGCCUUUCCUGAUAAUGAUUCAAAGGUGGUGAUGAAUUUUAUCCAGAAGAAUAUUUUCACUCUAUUUGGCACUCCAAGGGCAAUUAUUAGUGAUGAGGGGAGUCAUUUUUGCAACAAGUAUUUUGAUGCACUUCUGGCAAAAUAUGGAGUUAAACACAAGGUUGCAACUGCGUGCCAUCCUCAAACUAGUGGCCAAAUUAGAAGUAUCAAAUAGAGAAAUCAGAGGAUUUUGGAGAAAACAAUGUGUCCCAUAAGAAAAGAUUGGGCAAAAAGAUUGGAUGAUGCACUGUGGGCAUAUAAGAUUGGUUACAAGAUCCUAAUAGGUAUGUCUCCAUAUAAGUUGGUCUUUCACAAAGCUUGUCACUUACCGGUGGAACUUGAACACAAUGCUUGUUGGGCCGUGAAGAAGUUAAAUUUUGAUUUACAAGUAGUAGGUGAGCAAAGGUUGUUGCAAUUAAAUGAACUUGAUGAAUUUCGCGUUCAAGCUUAUGAGAAUGCCAAAUUCUAUAAAGAAAAACAAAGCAAUGGCAUGAUAAGAAGAUAGUGGAAAGAAGCUUUGAGCCAGGACAAUCAAUGUUGCUCUAUAAUUCUCGCUUGAAAUUAUUUUCGAAAAGCUCAAAUCAAGGUGGUCUGGUCAUUUAAUUGUCAAUGAAGCAUUUCCACAUGAAGAGGUACAGAUGGUCAAAAAUUUAAAGGCAAUGGAAAAAGAUUGAAGCAUUAUUGGGGAGGCGAAAUUAAUCGUCACAAGUCCUCAAUACACUUGCUUGACAUGGCCUAGAGUCCAAGUCAGUCCAGCCAAAGACUAUAAAUGAAGUGCUUCUUGGGAGGCAACCCAAGCUCCUCAACCUUACUUAUUUUUGUCUUCGUUAGUUAAAAUUUAUUUCUUUUAAUCAAUUUUUUUUUUAUGUUUCCUUUUGCAAGUUGGUUUCAAAAAAAAAAUUAAUAAUAAAAAAAGAGUUAGAGCCGUGGCCUUCAAAUUGAGGGUCGCGACCUUGAAAUGAGGCCACAAAGAGCUAAAAUAGAAUGUUUCACACCACAACCCUCAACGGGAGUGCCGCGGCAUUGGACGAAUCAGGGAACGAGCAACCAAACAAAACGUUUGAGCGUCGUGGCAUUAAAAACCAAAGCAUAAUGCUUCGGGUGGGAAUAGGUGAAAGCUGCGGCCCUCACUUGUGAGGGCCCUAGCACUGGAUCGAGGCCCAAUCCUAACCUUAUAAAAAACCUUCUUUUUCUUUCAUUCUUUCAUUCUUUUUUUCUCCAACCGCCAACCCCAUUCCCCAUCCUUCAUUCUCCUUCAAAACUCUUACCUUCUUCUUUCUUUUUCACUCCAAAUUUCUGCAUAUUAUUUCCACUUGGAUUUUUUUUUAAUUUUAAUUUUGAAAUCUUGCACUCAUUGCACUUCUAAGGUAAGUACUCCUUUUUCUCUUUUCCAAACACUUGGGUUUCAAUUAUUUUGUGCAAAGAGAGGAUGAGGAUGGUGUUAAUAGCAAAUUUUAUAAUUUUUGCACAUUGAAUGAGUCCAUUGUGCAUGAUUGUUAAUGAGUUUUCCUACUUCCUCACGGUUUAUGCUUGGAGUGCAUAAAAUUUUUAUGAUUAGUGCCAAAUUCUUGUUACCCAUAUAAUAGAUUCAUGGACAUUUUGUUUACUGAAAAUAUAAUUGAUAAAUGCUUUGUUGAUGUGAGUUGAUGAUGGGUUUGUCUAAUUUUUUAUGCUUGGUUAGGAGAGUAGAAAUAAAUUCUGGGAUUGUUGGUGCAACAACAUGCAAACUGAUAAUUUUGGAUAAGUGAUUUGUCAUAGAAUUAUUUUUUAUUUUUUUAUUUUUAUGUUGGACUGUUGGAUUGUGAAAUUUAUGAUUAUGAGAAUGUUGUCUGAAUAUUGUGAGGAAUAAAGAAUUUAUGUUGCAUCUUGCAGAGUGAGAAUGUAAAUGAAAUGAUUGAAUUUGGAUUGUUGAAUUGGAUAUAAAUUAAUGCUUGUGGUUCUUUCAUUUUUUGAUGGUUGUGCAUGCAACACUACUUGCAUAUUUUUACUUUGGUUUGUUUUGAUAAUUGGAUUUCUUUUGUAGGAAUGACACCCAAACGAUCCAAACCAAGCUCUAGUGGCGCCUUUGAUAGACCAAAGUUCAUCUCUACCGAUGCCUAUGCGCGAUAUCAUACAUCAUUGAUCAACAAAGUGCCAAUUCUUGAACCAGGGAUAGAUAUCCCCAUCCUUCCUUCUGAGGAUAUUGUCACAACCCAAUCCCGGGCCAUGAUCGGAGCAAGGGCCCAAUAGGCACAGCCCACUAGACCUAAGCAAGCCUUUCUAUAUGAACCUGUACAUUAGCCCAUCUAUCAUCCAUAUUUUUUUAAAAUCUAUAAUUCAUAAUAUUCAAAUAUAAUUUCUUUGAAAAGAAUUCAUAAAAUGCAAGUAUUUACUCAUAAUGGCAUCAUUGAUCAUAAUAUACAUAGAUAGUUUGACAAAAUGAAUCUUAGCAAUUCACAUUAAGUAUACAUAUAUACAUACAAUGACCCUAACCGUCAGCGGAGUGACUUUGGGCAUGGGUGCUAACAUUUAGUGGCAUGGUGAACCUACUGAAAGAUGAAUAGGAGGGAGCACCUUGACCUAGGACCCAACUACCUUCGAUCCUGAAACUAAAAUAUGAAUUUGAAAAGAAUGAGUAUAAACUUAGUGAGUGAACAUAGGAAGGGAACAAGCAACCAAUAUUGAAAGUUUUUGAAAACAUGAUGCAUUCGUUUUGAAAACAAUGCAAUUUUGUGUGCCAUAAACAAAACUCGAUGCCAUGUUGUCUUUUAACUCGUUUAAAACAUUUAAGAAAAUAAGCUUUCAACAUUCAAUACAAUCACAUAAUAUUUCCUUAACUUUUUCAUAGCAUAUAUAAACAUUUCUAUAGCAUAUAUAAACAUCUCUAUAGUGUAUAAAUAUAUAAACAUACAUGCAACCACCGGUCAUAAGCUCUUGUGCACUCCCUACACGCACAAGGCAAUAUCAUCAUGUGCACUCCCUACACGUACAUUUCAAUACCAUCACAUGCACUCCCGCCCACAUCAUUACUGGCAUUGUCAUGUGCACUCCCACACCGCACACGCACGGUUAUAUUAAUCAAUCAACAUUACAUUUCACAGAAUAACACACAUAUCAACACAUAACAAAAAUCUUUACAUAGUGCUAUAUCUCACAUAAUUCAUUAUUUUACUGGUCAUAAACAUAGUUGCACAAUCCAACACUCAACAAGAAUAACAUUAUUCAUUUUGCCAAUAAUUUAGGACAUCUCUAGAUUUCCAACACACACAUGCCACAAAUCAAUUGACAAAUCAACAUAACAUUCCAAGUACAUAACUCAUCACAUUAUUUAUUCAACCAUGUAAACGAAUUACUUGUGAAAAGCUUGUUCCCAUUCAUAAUUUUAAAUAAAAAAUCAACCAAGGAUAUUCAAAUAUUUUAUUCAAACACAUAUGAAUUUGUUCAAAGCAUUUUAAAUGCAAGUUCACUCACCUUAGGAUAGCGGGAUGUUACAUCGCUAUUAGUUCGGAGGCAUAUCUAGCUAUUGCUACUUGCCGGUCGCUCGCUAUUUCCUCUAGCAUGCUGCCACAGUACACUACCUUUACUUUUGUACUUCCUAGCAACAAUCCAAAUUCAAUAUCUUUAGUGUACCUCAUUUCUACUUCUCUUUUUCCUUCAAUCAUGAAUCCUUAUUCAACUAACUUAUAUCUUGACACAUUCUUUACCAAAGUGGCGUUUAUCCUUUACUUGCGUAAUUCUUUAGAUUAUGAAUACUAGCAACUUAUUUAUGACUCUAGCACAUAUAUAAAUCUUGUCUAAGGAUAUUUAUCAAGUUUAUCCAUCAUUUCCACAAUAAUUACCUAGCAUAUGGCAGCAACUAUAAAUUUACUUCCAUCAAACAUUUUUUAAGUUUACAUGUACCACAAUCCUCAUUUAUAUGUUGCCACCAAGCAUAACAUUAAUAUUCAUUCAUGCACACCAACAUCCAUAACCUUUUAAACCUUUCCUAACAACACAUAUCUACACACCAAACUUCCAAUUAAUAUACUUGCCUUCCAACCAUACCCCUGACAUCACAAUAACAUUACAUAUACAUACAAUCAUUCUCACAAUAUUAAACCAAUCAUAAGCUUCAAAUUGUAGCAUUAAGCUUACCACUUGGUUUUAACUUGGAUUUCACCCAACAAAAUUCAUAAUUUCCUCACACCCAUGGUCACCAUAGCUGCCACAAAAUGAUUGACACAUCAUUUUUUCAAAGAUUUAACCAACCAUGAGCUUAAAACACAAAAACGCUUACCUUAUGUUUCUUGAAUCUUGAGACCGACUUGAUAUUUCUUCAAUUACUCUUAAAUCACUUACUACCCAAGCCUUCCACCUUUCUCUCCUUUCUUUCCUGAGCUGAUUCUCUAUAUUUUUCUCUUCAAUUGCAUGGGAGUAAAGUGAAAAUAGGGUGGACGUAUGGAAAUGGCAUGGGAGGAAGGAGAUGGAGAAGAACAAAUGCCAUCUUGAAGAGAUAAGGAUCUACCAAGGAUAAGGAUGAAGAGUCAAAGCUUCCUUUGGAAGCUUUGACCACUUUAAUGGCAAAAUUACUAUUUUACCCCCUAAUGUUCUCACUAUUUUUAAUUGUAUGCUCCCACAAUCUUUUAAUUCCAAUUUCUUUCCAUUAUCUUCUUUUACACAUGCACAAACGAAAUAUAAAGUUUGUACUCCGACGUGGUGUCCCCAUAAUAUUUAAAAUAUUUAUUUACCCACGUUAUCUUUAUUUAAUAAAGGCAAGCGGGUCCCAUUAACGUCAUUUUUCUCUGAAAUAUCCUUGUUUGUCUUCUGUCCCACUUAGAUUGACCAUAUACUCCCUUUUUCAUGAAAAAUUUUGACACUGAAUAAAAUAUUAAUAUUUUAAUAUUAUUUUAUUAAUAAAAUAUUAUUAUAUUCUAAAAUUUCCCGCUUGCCUCCUUGGCACCCAAAAUACCUUAUUAUGCUUCAAUUCACUUCUGAAUCACUUUUUUUCUCGUAAAUUCUUCUCAGAUAAAAAUAUUAUUAUUUUAUUAUUAUUUCAUCACGUGUGAAAUAUUUUAUCUUAAAAUACUCUUUUCACCUUUCAUCACUUUUAAACAUUUCAAUUAACCUCAAUUAGCAUCCAAUAAGCUUUAUUAGCCACCAUAUCAAAGUACGGGAUAUUACAAUCUCCCCCACUUAAAUAGAAUUCGUCCUCGAAUUCUCUUCAACAUCGGGUUGUUAAUCUCACUCAAUGAUCAUAUUCCAUCUCCUUCUCCAUAGGGAAUUUGUUUUACGCACCUCAUUAUCUUCAAUUUGACUAGAACACUUUACAAGGUCAGAGUACGUAACUUAUAUCUAUUAUCAUCUUUGAGUCAAAACCACGGUACCCUUAUCAAUUGUUCUUUCUUAUCAUUAAGAUCCCAAGUAUGCCUUUAAUUCCAUCACUAACCUCAAACAUAUAUUUAUUUCAAUUCUUGUCAAACCUCUAGUCAUUCAUUCAUCUCGUUUACCUCCAGUUCGACUAGAAUGCUUCACUGAUGUUUGUUAUCAUCCUUUAGAAUCAAAUCAACGGUACCCUUCACGAUCAUUAUCUCUUAUUUUAAGACGUUGAGUAUGUCGUUAUCCCUAUCAUUAAAUGUGAACCAUAACUCCAUCUUAAUCAUACUGAUUUCAAUCACAUUUUAUACUCACUUAUGUAUACAAAUCACCAUCUUAUUACUUCAUUCCUUGUCAAACUUCUCAACAUUCAUUCAUUCAUCCUAUCUUAUCCUCAUACACUAUUAUAUAGCUUACAACAUCAUUAACAUGCCAUAUUUAUUCCUGUACAUAUUCCCAAUGUUGGGAGAGGUUAAUGACUUUAAUUAUUCCCACAUACUCAUUGUAAAGCCCGACCUUAUAAAAUACUUGUCAUGACAUACAUGUGAUGAUAGCAUGAUUGCAUGCUAGGAGAGUCUCGAAAAAUUUACAAAAGUAGGUAUUGUACCUAGAGGUACAACAAAGUUGAUUUAAGCCUCGAACUAGAUCAAAUAGAGAAUUUGAGAUGAAAUUAAGGAUAUUAAAGUACCAGAAUGGUUUAAUAUGGUGAUUUAGAGUUCGAGGAUCAAUUUGGAGUCAAACCAGAAUUUUCACUAUCUAGGGGCAAAAUGGUCAUUUGCCACUUGGGGACAAAAUGGGAAUUUUUAGAAAAGAUUUUUUGACCCCAUUUGACUUAUUAGAGUAUGAUUUGAGUAUUGGAGUAUGAUUUGAGGUUAAGAAGUGAAAAAAAUUGUAAUUUCAGUAUUUUUUAGAGCAUAGGGGUAAAAUGGUAAUUUUACCACCCCAAUGGCAAAAUUAUAAUUUUACACCACCAUGACAUUUUUCAAGCUCCAGAAUUUUGCCUAUUAUUAUUUUAUGCUAUGGAUAAAUAUUAGAGCAUUUGUGGUGGUGAGAAAAGGCUUAAAAAUUAAGUUAAAACAAGUGGACCAAUAAAAAGGUGACAUGUGUCAAAAAUUAAAUAUUUUUAUAUUGCCAUUUAAAAACCAGCCCACACUCUUCCACUCAGCAUUUCAAGGCCGACCAGCACCUGCAGAAAAGAGAAGAAAAGAAAAGAAAAACCCUAGGGAGGAAAAACUAAGGAAAAUUUGUUGAAUUUUCAAGAAAUUGGUGACUAAAGGUAAGAUUUUUAAUAUUAAGCUUGAAAUUCAUCUUGCCCAUGCAUUCUUUUCCAUUUUCCAUGAAUUAAAUUCAAGUUUUCAUGAGGGGCAAUAUGCUGGCCAGAUUUAGAGAGAGAAAGUUGGUGAUGAAUUUAGUUGAAUUUCAAGGUAACUUAGUGUUUUUAGGUGUUUAGUAACAUUUAGUAUGAAAAUUAAGCAAGAAAUCCACAUGCCCAUUAUAGAACCUAUCUUGGCUGAAUUUUAUGGGUGAGGAUUGAUGAUGAAUUUGGUUGUUUUUCAUGCCAUUUAGAUGUAUUUGGUGCUUAGGAAUACCGAAAAUCGAAAACGGGUACCGAAAAAUUUUACUCGCGUUAGUUAGCAAUUUGCACCAUAAUGAGGGAUAUUUUGGUAAUUGCACUUAGAAUAGAUUUUUAUUGAAGUGUGUGGAAUUUUGGGGAGUACUGGAAGUGCAAUAAAUUAAUUGGAAUCGAAUUGGACGUUUAGACCGAUUAAAUAGUGUAUAGUGCGCGAUAGGCCGAACACCUCCCAUUUCAUUGCAUGCAUUCAUAUAGAACAUAGAAUAGUUUUGUGACGAUUUAGCAUAAGUAUAUUAAAUUUCCUGUUACACAUUAUGUAUAGGUGGUGAGCCCUCGGAUAAGGGCAAAGGUAUUGCACCCGAGGAUCAAGACUAGGAGUGUUGUAAAUUCCCGUCAAAGUGAGUAACCACUGUUCAUCUUAUCUAUCUAGAGUAUUUUUACAAUCGUUUUUAUGAUUUUAAGAAUAUUGAACCUAAAUGAAUUUUAUGUUUUAUGACUAAUAAUCGAUUUAAGGAAUAAGGUUUAUGACUUAUUUUACAAUUCAAUAAUAUUUUUGAAAAUGUGAGUAUGUGGAGACCAACCUUUGAUGUUGCCUAUAUAUUUAAGUUUACGUACCUACGUUUGGAAUUGAUGAUUUAUGAACUGAUACGUGAUGACAUAUAUGGCUGGGUUUUUGGGUUGUGAAAUAUAUAAACUGUUUGUUUUCCUUUGACAGGUUGGGUAGUAUUAUGUUAGCCACGUUAUGCUGUCAAAAUUUUAUUGAUUGGUGGGUUAUUUAAUUAGUCAUUGCAGUAGGCGAGUUUCCAUGGACCAGCCUAUUAGAGGGGCACGGUAAACCCCGUUAUAUUUACCUUAGUAGGAAAGGCGCGAAGGAUAUCUCCUAAGGUAUGAUAGAGUUCACUUCACGCCGAGCCACCACUUGAAGAUGAACUCUGCCAACGCCAAGAGAUGGUUAAACUAUGUUUUUAUGAGUAGUUAUUAACUUAAUAACCUUGGCGAACUCAGUUGAAUGCCUCAGCCAAGGUAUUACCGAGAAUGUUUUUUUUUUUUGACACGAGCCAAGUUUUUAAGAAAAUCAUAAGUCGUGAUAUGUAUUAUAAUGAAAUAUGUUGUUUUAUAUGAUUUGAAACAAGUACAAAAUGUUGUGGAUUAUGGUAUGAUGAAAAGUUAACUGUCUCCAUUUACCGACUUUAGAUGUUAAUGAUGGACUUUGUUUACUCACUGAGUUUAUGAAACUCACCCUUUCUUUUUAACCAUUCAGGUUCAAGAUAGUCUGUAGGCAGUCGAUUUCAUCAAGGAUUUCUUUUGGACUUAUUUCCUUGAAAAUCAUAGGUCUACCUUCUUGCACACUUUUGGUUAUCUCAAGGCCCAUAUGCCACUGUAGGAUAAUUUUGAAUACCUAGUUUACUGUAUCACUAUGUGUAUGAAUUUAUUUUGUUCUCACGCUACAAAAAUUAUUUAUGCAUAGUUCUAUAAAAAUUGUUUUAUAAGAAAAUGAAAUAUAUUAUCGAAUAUUUUUAGUUAGUCUAAUUAGCCAACUUUUCACUCCAAAUAGAUGAUUUAGAUUACAAAAAUUUAUAUUCAAUCGGAAAUGGAUAUCUUUCUACCAUACAUUGUAUUUUUAUCAGGUCUCGAAAUUUUUAGGUAAAAAUGACCAAAAUACCCCUAUGUAGCGAAAAUUUUAUUUUGAUUGUUUUCGAUCUAAAAUAGUUUAUAUUCGCUUAAAACUCGAUAUUUAGUAACUAUUGCUCACAGGGGAAAUGGAAAACUGAUGCAAGAGUCUUGCGAGGUUUCGGUUGACAUACCGGGUAAUGAAUGAUUACAAAGACUUCGCGGCAGUUGUCACGGGCUCGAAGGGAGUGCCGGGUCAUGACACUCAUGUUUACCUUACAUUUUUGCAACUUCAAUCUUCUUAAUCAUAUUAGUCCAUCUUGUAUGGCUUAACCACGUUAUAGAUUACAUUUCCUUGGUAUCAUUUCUUUGACUAUUUCUCCAAAAUUUCUUAUAUCAACAUAGCUCAACUUUUGAUGGGAUUUCUUAUCGUUGUACUAUCUAUACAACUCAUCAAAUAUUGAGUUCAAAGCUUGAAUCACUAAAAACAAUUCUUCACUUCAGUUGGGCACAUCACUAACUCCACACAUAUGUACGUAUCUGCACAUUUAAGUGUCAUUAUUCCUUAUUACGUGUGGGGAUCUUUGUUUUCAAGUGCCUUCAGACUAAUUUCUCUUUGUUCAUUCUCAUCCAUAACCAAGAUUCAAUAUGAUAAUCUUCAUAGUUCAUGUCAAUGUUCUCAUAUUUAAUCUAUGAGCAUUGGGGUAUAAUCAAUUUUAGAUUACCCUUUUUAUAUGUUUAAAUCACCAUUCCACUCGUAUCUUACCAUAAGUUAUCUCUUACGUAAUCCAUAAGAAUUCUCAUUAUGCCUAUGCAUAGCUUCAUGUCCUUUUCAUGCAUAUACUCCUUUCUUAUCAUUUCCAAUUAUAUGCUUAAGUUUCAUUAUACUAUAUAUCCUUGCAUCACAAUUCCAUUAGUCACAUCUCACUUGCCAAAUGUCAUUUUCAUUAAAUUGCAAUCCAGUAUUUGUAUAUAUUUUAUAAUUUCAUUGAUCCUUCAAAGAUUCAUCUUUACUUGAUCACUGCAUCUUAUGCAAUAUCACAAUCCCUCUAAGUCAUCCCUGUUUCUCAAUUAUCUUUCAUGCCUCUAACAUAUAUAUUAUAUUCUUAUUGCAUUUUGACCUUAAUUAGUCACUUAAGACUUGGACUUAUUCGAAUCAUGCAUGCCACAUGCGUUUCCAAAUUCCAAUUUCCAUAAUACAUUAGGAGGUUUUCAUUAUCCAACUUCAUUAUCAAGGUUACCUUCAACCAUCCUUUGUACUAUUCUCUUAUACUGAUAUAAUGUCAUUCUCCCUUAAUCAAUUCAUAAUUUGUACUUGAAAUUGCAAGACUGGAAACAAGGUUUUUCUCAAGUACUUUUUAAUAUCAAUGUGAGUAUCACUUUUAGCUUACGGCUUUGCUUUUGUAACCACAUAACUUAAUGCCUGUUUCCAUAAGAUUCAUAGUAGGAUUCCUUAUAGAUGCCUACCUUUAACUUAUGUCUCACCGCAUAUGAUCACAUAACUCGUGGUUUAGCCAUUAAACUCCUUAGCAAGUUUCAAAAUCACACAUAUUAUACUAGUCGCUUAUGAUUGGUAAUUCCUUCUCAAGGAUGUUCAUGCAUCCCUAAAACACUUAAUCACUCAUUUGCUCUUUAACAUUUUGAGCAUAUCGUUCCAAAAAAGGCAUGCACUUAUUCACCAAGAUAUUUGAAUGCAUGCUCAACUAUUCAUACUUUAAUUUAUUCCCAAGGGUUUCUAGCAUGCCAUGUAAUCAGCCUUGUGUUGUUACUAAUCCUUUUCAUUCAAUUGAGUCAAGACAGGAAUUGCAGAUUCUCAUAGCAAUAUUCUAUAUAAACUCAUUCGCUAUACCACUCUUGUAAUCCUUCAUUCACACUUUCAUCACUUGGUAUUGACAUCCCUUAUCAAUAUCUCAUACAUUCAUCUAACUUUACAUUCACUUUUUCCUUAGCCUUUAACAAAGCUUAAUCUCUUAUCCUCCUUAUUUCUUAGGGUUUGACUUUAGUUUGUGUAAUGUUUAUCUUAAUACUUCACACAGUAAUUCAUCUCAAGAACUCUCUAACUCCCCUUUUUAUUACCUGCCAAUAUAUAGGGCAAUAAAGAAACAUUUCAAUUCACUCAUCAUCUUUAUCUUAAUACUUUCUCAACACACUUAAACUCUAAAUAACAAAAGUCAACAUCAAGGCCAAUGACCAUAAUUCAACUUGUGAGUUUCAUCUUCAUGCCACUCACAAUUUGCUCAUGCUUUCUAACCAUGAGGUGUUCUUAAAGUAGCAGCGUUGGGUAGUCGGCGCUGUAGCGUUGCUGUUGCUGGAAUUUACUUUAUCAAAGCAAUUCUUCUUCUUUUAAGGCUACUACACUAAUCAUUCUCAACCGCAUGGCUUUCCUUUAAGCCUAUACCACAAUUUCCAUAAGUAUGUGUAUCUUUUCUUUGCUUAUCAUAUGCACUAGGCCAAAUUAAUACUUUCAACUCAUAUCAUCUUUUGACUUUUAUCAUCAAUCAUGAAUUCCCACCUUAAGGCAUAUUUUCCAUAUGGUGUAAUGAAUUCACAAUACAUAUAUCACCCCAAACAUAAUUACUCACUAUUUAUGGCAUUCCACAAAUUUGUUAUUAUCCAUAACUAAUUGUCUUUCUUGUCAUGUAACUCCAAUAGUUUAUUGACUUUCAGUACAAAUGACCAUGAAAAUAGUUCAUCUUUCUCCUCACUUUAUUCUCACAAUCCUUAUUAAAUCAAGAAUUCAUUUUUCCCACGUUCCAUAAUUUAACUCCUUUGGGCUAUAUUUGUUCCCAAUUAUUACCUCAUAAUGUCAUGGCAUCAUUUUGUAAUCCCCUCCAUGCUUAAAUUACAAUCCUCGACUUAAUCACAUCAUCCAUUCUAAGUGUCUCCUAUAACCUCAUUGAUUUCUCCCAUAUCCUUCCAAAUAGUAACUGCAACUGGGAUUUCAAUUUCCACCUUUCCACGAUUAAUUGGUAAUCAUUUGUUAGGUCUCAUAGUUGUUUGUACCAUUAAUGACUUUCUACGUCGAUCCUUAAUAAUUAUCUAAGGCGACCAACCACGCAACUAAGGUGAAUAUCCUUCCUCAAUAAUUAUAUUGCUAGUCUACCUUUGUUAUACCAAAAGAUUCCUAUACACAUCCGGUCAUUUAAACAACUACUUUAUAAUUCAUUCGAGUCAUAUAAAAUAAAAGCCAACUCUUGACUCCUUUGUACAAAUAACUACUAAUAUUUCCUUUACACCGCAUCUACCUAGACUUAAAGUGAUACAAACUUCAACGAAAAUAUUAAGUGUCUUUAGGAUCCUCUUCACCUUGAUCCAAGCACAUCAACGGAUCUUCUUCCAGGUCCUCCUCUUCUUCUUGAGAUUUUCUCAUUUUAUUCAUAAUCCAAGCUUGCUGUAUUCUCAUGCAUUCCUUGUUACUCACAAGUGCAGCACCUCUACCACAACUUGGAGGAAAGUCUCGGACAACAGAUACAGAUACUUUCCUAGGACGAUAAUUACUGACAGUCCCUUUUUCCCAUCUUGUUCGAGUUCUUUUUUCUUGGAUCGAUUUCAUUGCGCACCAUUCUUGCAAGGCUCCUCCAGCUUUUAAAUAGUAUUCUACCUAUCGGGAACCGAUCCACUUGAAAAAUUCCUUGCUACUCACAAGUUCAGCACCUCUGCCAUAACCUGGAGGAAAGUCUCGGACAACAGAUACAGAUACUUUCCUAAGAUGAUAAUUACUGACAGUCCCUAUUUUCCAUCUUGUUCGAGUUCUUUUUCCUUGGAUCAAUUUCAUUACGCACCAUUCUUGCAAGGCUCUUCCAACUCUUAAAUAGUAUUCUACCUCUCGGGGAACCAAUCCACUCAAACAAUUGGGUCGGGUUACUUGUUACGCUUCGACCCUCAAUCACAUAUCAGCUCCACGCAGUGGAAUCUAGCGAUCCCUCGCUAGUACUGUGAAGGGCGUCAAGACUACCGUUUUUUCUAGACAUGACGUGUGCAACAGGCGCACCUUUAAACUUAUAUGCAACCAAGCAUUAAUUACUUUUCCAUUUAUACAUCAUAAGAACAAGUAGGUUUCUAAUGAAGUAGGGGCCCAUGUAGCCUCUAGUCUUUGACUUGCGUUGCGCACCCACAAUCCAAGGACAAGACUCUACACGGACUCCAACAACUCUGCUGACAGACACAUGAAUCUCUAGGACUCAACAAAACCUAGAGCUUUGAUACCAAGUUUGUCACAGCCCAAUCCCUAGGCCAUGACCGACUUAAGGGCCCAAUAGGCAUAACCCACUAGGCUCAAGCAAGCCUUUCUAUAUGAACCUGUACAUUAGCCCAUCUAUCAUCCAUUUUUCUUUAAAAUCUAUAAUUCAUAAUAUUCAAAUAUAAUUUCUUUGAAAACAAUUCAUAAAACGCAAGUAUUUACUCAUAAUGGCAUCAUCGAUCAUAAUAUACAUAGAUAGUUUGACAAAUGAAUCUUAACAAUUCACAUUAAGUAUACAUAUACACAUACAAUGACCCGACUAUCAGCAGAGUGACUCUGGGCAUGGGUGCUAACAUUUAAUGGCAUGGUGAACCUACUAAAAGAUGAAUAUGAGGGAACACUUUCACCUAAGAUCCAACUAGCUUCGAUCCUAAAACUAAAACAUGAAUUUGAAAAGAAUGAGUAUAAACUCAGUGAGUGAAUAUAGGAAGGAAACAAGCAACCAAUACGGAAAGUUUUUGAAAACAUGAUGCACUCAUUUUGAAAACAAUGCAAUUUUGUAUGCCAUAAACAAAACUCGAUGCCAUGUUGUCUUUUGACUCAUUUAAAACAUUUAAGAAAAUCAACUUUCAACAUUCAAUACAAUCACAUAAUAUUUCCUUAACUUUUUCAUAGCAUAUAUAAACAUUUCUAUAGCAUAUAUAAACAUCUCUAUAGCGUAUAAAUAUAUAAACAUACAUGCAACAACUGGUCAUCAGCUCUUGUGCACUCCCUACACGUACAUUUCAACAUCAUCAUGUGCACUCCCUGCACGCACAUUUCAAUACCAUCACACGCACUCCAACCCACAUCAUUACCGGCACCGUCAGGUGCACUCCCACACCGCACACGCCCGGUUAUAUUAAUCAAUCAACAUUACAUUUCAAAGAAUAACACACAUAUCAACACAUAACAAAAAUCUUUGUAUAGUGCUAUAUCUCACAUAAUUCAUUAUUUUACUGGUCAUAAACAUAGUUGCACAAUCCAACACUCAAAAAGAAUAACAUUAUUCAUUUUGCCAAUAAUUUAGGACAUCUCUAGAUUUCCAAUACACACAAGCCACAAAUCAAUUGACAAAUUAACAUAACAUUCCAAGUACAUAACUCGGCACAUUAUUUAUUCAACCAUGUAAAAGAAUUACUUGUGAAAAGAUUGUUCCCGUGCAUAAUUUUAAAAGAAAUCAACCAAGGAUAUUCAAAUAUUUUAUUCAAAUGCAUAUGCAUUUGUUCAAAGAAUUUUAAAUGCAAGUUCACUCACCUUACGAUGGCGGGAUGUUACAUCGCUAUUAGUUUGGAGGCGUAUCUAGCGAUUGCUACUUGCCGAUCCCUCGUUAUUUCCUCUAGCAUGCUACCACAAUACACUACCUUUACUUUUGUACUUCCUAGCAACAAUCCAAAUUCAAUAUCUUUAGUGUACCUCAUUUCUACUUCUCUUUUUCCUUCAAUCAUGAAUCCUUAUUCAAUUAACUUAUAUAUUGACACAUUCUUUAGCAAAGUGGCCUUUAUCCUUUACUGCGUAAUUCUUUAGAAUAUGGAUAGCAACAACUUAUUUAUGACUCUAGCACAUAUAUAAAUCUUGUCUAAGGAUAUUUAUCAAGUUUAUCCAUCAUUUCCACAAUAAUUACCUAGCAUAUGGUAGAAACUAUAAAUUUACUUCCAUCAAACAUUUUCUAAGUCUACAUGUACCACCAUCCUCAUUUACAUGUUGUCACCAAGCAUAACAUUAAUAUUCAUUCAUGUACACCAACAUCCAUAACCUUUUAAACCUUUCCUAACAACACAUAUCUACACACCAAACUUCCAAUUAAUAUACUUGCCUUCCAACCAUACCCAUGACAUCACAAUAAUACUUCAUAUGCAUACAAUCAUUCUCACAAUAUUAAACCAAUCAUAAGCUUUAAAUUGUAGCAUUAAGCUUACCACUUGAUUUUAACUUGGAUUUCACCCAACAAAAUUCAUAAUUUUCUCGCACCCAUGGUCACCAUAGCUGCCAUAAAAUGAUUCACACAUCUUUUUUCCAAAGAUUUAACCAACCAUGAGCUUAAAACACAAAAACCCUUACCUUAUGUUUCUUGAAUCUUGAGGCCUAAUUGAUAUUUCUUCAAUUACUCUUGAAUCACAUACUACCCAAGCUUUCCACCUUUCUUUCCUUUCUUUCCUUAGCUGAUUCUCUCUAUUCUUCUCUUCAAUUGCAUGGGAGUAAAGUGAAAAUGGGGUGGAAGUAUGGAAAUGGAGUGGGAGGAAGGAGAUGGAGAAGAAAAAACACCAUCUUGAAGAGAUAAGGAUUAACCAAGGAUAAUGACGAAGAGUCAGAGCUUCCUUUGAAAGCUUUGACCAUUUUAAUGGUAAAAUUACCAUUUUACCCUUCAAGGUUUUUACCCUUUUUAAUUGUAUCCUCCCACAAUCUUUUGUUCAUCUCGAUAAUAUGUGAUAGAAGGGGGGUGAAUAGCAUAAAUUGGCUCUUAACAAUAUUGGGAACUAAUUCCCAGAACUGAAGAAAAUAAAAACAGGGUAUAAGAUGCACAACAAUUUAGAAUGGUUCGGUCUAAGACCUACAUCCACUACCUUGAUUAUCCAACCAAGGAUUUUUCCACAAAUUCACUAAACAUCGGUGAAAUUCACAAGCUUUCACCAAGCUUUACAAUGGCUUUUACCAGGCAGUCAAAACAUUUUACAUUAGUUUUUCACGGGCUCAACUAAAACCCAAAGUGGUUUUCCAAGGCUCAACCACAACCUUCAACAAUCAAGCUAUCCCAAGCUUGAACAACCCCUUAGAGUGACUCCCUCACUCUAAGAAUACAAGAAAAGUAGUAAAAGAAGGUACCUAUAAUCACUGGUUGAUCUGAGUGGUACAAGAUUGAGUGCUAAAUACAAAUGCAAGGAGUAGGCAUUUAAGUGCAGACAAGUGCAGUGAAGUUUUUCUGGUUUUUUUAACUUUCUAUAACUCAAAUCUCUUUCAAGGCUUCUAAAAACUUGUUUCUAAUUGUUGGAAGACCCUUUUAUACUUAGAGAUGCAAUUCUGAUGGCAGUUUGACAGUUUAUGGCUGUUGAAAAUAGUUAAGAAUGAGUUCUAGCCAUUAAUCUGUCUUGUAGUGCUCUGGUUCAAAUUGCAGACAGAGGGCUCUUAGUCGACUGACUUGGUCGACUAAGUUGGUUUUGUUUCAAGUUGUAGAUUCUGACAGAGAGCAGUUAGUCGACUGACUUGGUCGACUAAGUUGAUUCUGUUUCUCAAACUCUUCAGCCCGCUAUUCUUCCAAUUUGAAACUUGGUCAACCAAUAUUCUUCCUUGUUUCACCAAUAGGCUUCCUCCUUGUUAGAUAGUUACAUCUUGUUGUUUUUAUUCCUCUUUUUCUUUUGAUAUACUCUUUGAGGAGUUAAAUAAUUAAUUUCAUAUAUUAAAUUUCCUGCACACUCAAGUAAAGAUAUUAGACACAAAUGAAUGGGAAUGUUUUAUUAUCAUCAAAAGCUAAUAGAGCCAACAUCUUUUAAUUUCAAUUUCUUUCCAUUAUCUUCUUUUACACAUGUACAAAUGAAAUAUAAAGUUUGUACUCCAACGCGGUGUCCCCAUAAUAUUUAAAAUAUUUAUUUACUCGCGCUAUCUUUAUUUAAUAAAGGCACUCAGGCCCCAUUAACGUUAUUUUUCUUUGAAAUUUCUUCGUUUGUCUUCUCCCCCACUUAGAUUGACCAUAUACUCCCUUUUCAUGAAAAAUUUUGAUAUUGAAUAAAAUAUUAAUGGUUUAAUAUUAUUUUAUUAAUAAAAUAUUAUUUUAUUUUAAAAUUUUCCACUUGUCUCCUUGGCAACCAAAAUAUCUUAUUAUGUUUCAAUUCACUUCCGAAUCACUUUUUUUCUGGCAAAUUCUUCUCUGAUAAAAAUAUUAUUAUUUUUUUAUUUCCUCGUGUACGAAAUAUUUUAUCUUAAAAUACUUUUUUCACCUUUCAUCACUUUUAAACAUUCCAAUUAACCUCAAUUAGCAUCCAAUAAGCUUUAUUAGCCACCAUAUCAAAGUACGGGAUAUUAUAGAUAUUAAUGACAUGCUUCGAGACAGACAUUGGCAGCUAUUUAGUGACCAAGCUGAAGUUGCGGUUGUGCCUGCAGCCUGAGAGUUUUAUGCAAAUGCGGUUGAACAUGUUGAUGGUUGACCAUCAAAUUUUAUUUUUGUCAUAUGGAAAAUGACAUUGUACGUAUGUGCAGCAAUAUGGAGUGAUUUGCAGCAAGUAAGUAUUAGCAAAUCAUCAUUAAACUUUCAGUAGUAAGUGUUGAUAGAUUUUCAUAAAUGUUCCAGCAGCUGUCAACAGUUUAUUGGUUUCAGAUUUUGUCUACAUCAUUCAUGUUUCAAUUGAUAUACUAUGCACCCCAUCUAUAUCUAGUUACAAAUAGAAAUCAUUCAUAAUUCCAUAACAAAAAUCAUUUAUUAGCAUCGAUAUCAGCAUAGCAUCAGCAGAUUUUGUUUAUGACAGUAAAAAUACCAAGAUAACAAAAUAUCAGCAGACUUCAAUUUGUAGCAGUUAAACAACAUAGACAUUUCAGCAUUCACUUUUCACACACAACUAGAUAAACAACAUAAUUAAACUUAAGUGUUCAAGUGCCAACAUGGCACAAAUAGCAGUUAAUUAAAAAAUAUUCUGAAAUUGCCCUUGGAUAAUUUUGCUUCCUAUCUCUUAUUUUUCUAAGUUUCGGCUCCUGAUUCUGCUUUCUUUUCUUUCCUAGGUUCUUGGUUCCUCCACCCUAACAUUUUUUUUUAAUUCCUGCACCCAUUCUUUGGUUCCUACACCUAUUCUACUCCCCCUUUUUGUUAGCAUCAAAAGAAGGGGCUUUUAUUCAUCUGAUGUGUUAGAGGGUGAGGAUUCAGUGUCAUAAAAAAGGUUUAGAGGAAAAGGAGAGGGCUCUCGGAGAGGUGAUGACUUGUGUGAGACAGGGAUUGGACUCUGAAAAGAAAAGGCUGAAACUGGUUUGGAUUUCUCUACCAACCUGGAAAACUUUCUUCUCUUAAGAAAAGCUGUCUUGGUUACCAUAGUCUUCCUGCCUUUGGUUUGUGGUUUUGCCUCAGUUAGUGGUGCUGCAAUGGCUUUGGCUUUUUCUACUUUUGCCUUUACUCUAGUAGUUGAUGUAGGUUUCUUUCUUUUUCCUACAUCUUCACCAUCCUUUUGAGUUUUUGUCCUGGCAGUGUCUUUUUCAGCUUGUCCCUCUUUAACCAUUUGGUGGAAGAUAUCCAAGAUGGAAACUUCCUCUGAAUUUGGAGGAGAGGUCUGUUGUUUCUUUGUCUCUGAACCAACCACUUCUGUUCCUUGUUCUGAAUCAUUUUUGCUUUGAGGUUCAGGAGAGGAUGUCUUAGCUAGCUAAUCAACCCCUUGAGGAGAGUCCUCAGUUUGCAAAACAGGACUGGCAGACUUGUAGGUGGAACCUUUAGCUUGAAAGCCAGAACUUUCAACAUGAUAAGCAGAUUUUUCUGCUGGCUUAGCUGAACCUUCAGCACCUUGCUAUAUUGGUGCAAUGCUAGAUGUUGCAGAUUUGUCUAUAGCCAAAGGUUCAGAUGGAAUGCUUUCCUUCUCCUUUAGCUUGCUUUCCAACUCAGUGAUUUUCUCUUCAAUUUUCUGUAUCUUUUCUCCUUGGUCAGUCAGCUUCCAUCAAUCCUCAUGAGCAAAUUAAAAAUUACUUCAUUUGAGAAUCUAGAAAGGGCUUCUUCAGGUUAAGCAGGUAGGCUGUGUUUUUUUCCUAGACCAGUCUUGGGGGUCUUAAUGAAUCUUUCCCCAUCGAGUAUAUACCCCAUUUUAACCAAGCUCCCAUAAUAAAUAGCUUGAUCUCUGGUUUUUACCAGGUCCAUAUCAUACUUUUUUGCCCAUGUUCCCUUCUUUUGCACAAGGGAUGUAAUUACAUUCCCAAACAACAGAUUAACCUUAUCAAGUCUACAGGCACUUCUCAUUUUUUUAAUCAUAAAUCUUCCUAGAUUCAGAGGUACCUCGUUGAAGGCAUGCUUCAUCAGCCAGAGGUCUUGGAGGCUAAUGUAGCUAAGGCUUUCACUUUUACCUUGAAUGUUGGCCGUUGUAAAAUUGUGUAAAAUCCUAAUCUAAGGACUGAUUAUCAUACCUGAAUUACUUUUUGAAGAAUAUUUUUCUUUCUUUCCAGUGAUGAUCUUCCACAAUGAAGAUGGAUCAUAUUUUUCAAGGAGCUCAUACUCUCUUUCUUUGCAUUCUAUUUUCAACAGGUUUCCUAAAUCUUCAGCAGUCACAACAAAUUCUUUUCCAUUCAGAUAAACAUUCAAACCAUCUUCAUCAUAAUCAUCAAAAUCUAUUAAUUCCUUUCCUUUCAAAGCAAUACCAGAAUAUAAUUUUUUAACCAGACUUGGACUAUAAGACCUAUGCUUAAAGAUGCUGUAACCUUUUAGUUUCAGUUCAUCAAAGUACUUAGAUAAACUAGUCUGGAUUUCUAUAUUUUCCUCAAAACUUUUCCAAUCAAUAAAUUUUCCACAAGAGAUUGGUGCAUUCUCGAUAUUUUUGAACCUAUAUUCAUGCAAUUUAUUCCUAAACUUUGAAGAAAAAGAACUGGUACCUUUGUGGUGUGAAGGUUCUAUUUCUUUAUUUUUGUCAGUUUUUUGCUUCUUUUCUCUUAGUUUGUUGGAUAUUUCUUUCACUGAAAUAGGCAUGAUUUUCUGUUUCUUCUUUAGACUUUAUGUUCUUGUUCCUUUCUCCAUUGGCCUUUUCCUUUUCUUCUUUUCUGAUAUCUCUUUACUCUAAGAUUUUCUAGCCAUUUUGGUUCCAAAAAUUUCUGAGGAUUUGAGUCAGUUUUAGAGGCAAACAAGAAGAUUUGGAUUUUUGUUUUUAGAGCAACGGGUUUUAGGGGAGAGAAGAUGAGAGGUUGUCAGCACUUAUUUCUUAGAAAAACUGCUCACCUUCCCUCAAGAGCUGCCCUACUUUCAUUCUUUAUAAUUUCAAAAUUCCCUCUAAAAUUUUGGUUAUUUACCUUUGGCAGUAUUUUUUCUUUCUCUUUGCACUCGGUAAACCAAAUUUUUACCUCAUUUUACUCCUCUUUCUCUAAACUCACUAAGUCUUAUUAUUUAAUGUUGUCAGACCACUCUUAGUUAACUAAGAUUUCCUUAGUCGACUGAAUGCAUUCUAUUUUCUGUGUGUGAGCCAAAGGUUUUCCUAUAAUUCCUUCACACUAAUCAUCCCUAAAUUUCUUCUAAUCUCACAUAAUCUAUCUUCACUCAAAGGUUUGGUAAAAAUAUCUGCUAAUUGAUGUAAAGUAUUCACAAAUUCUAUCUUAAUAUCAUUUUUCACUACAUGGUCUCUAAUAAAAUGGUGUCUUUUUUCAAUGUGCUUAAUCCUAGAAUGCUGCAUAAGGUUUCUUGAUAUAUUGAUUACACUUGUAUUAUCACAGUAUAUUGGUACAUUAUGCAUAGUUAUUCCAUAAUCUUUUAAUUGUUGCUUGAUCCAAAGGAUUUGUGCACAGCAACUACCUAAUGAUACAUAUUUAGCCUCUGCUUUAGAUAGUGCCAAUGAGUUUUGCUUCUUGCUGGACCAAGACACAAGCAUGCUUCCUAAAAAUUGGCAUGUUCCACUAGUGCUUUUCCUAUCAGUUUUGCUACCAGCAAAGUCAGCAUCUGAAUAUCCAACUAAGCUAAAAGUUUAGUCUCUAGAGUACCAUAUUCCUAGUCCUUGAGUGUCUAUGAGGUAUCUAAAAAUUCUCUUAACAGUUGUUAGGUGUGUUUCUUUAGGCUGUGACUGAAAUCUAGCACACAAGCGCACACUAAACUGAAUAUCUAGACUACUUGCUGUUAAGUAGAAAAGUGAGCCGAUCAUACCUCUAUAGAGCUUUUGAUCUACAUCCUUACCUUUUUCAUCUAAGUCGAGUUUGGUGGAUGGAGUCAUUGGUGUGGAAAUUGAUUUCAGCUUCACCAUAUCGAAUUUCUUGAGCAUAUCUUGAGUGUAUCUUUCUUGGUUGAUGAAGAUUCUUUCCUCACUUUGUUUAAUUUGAAGACCAAGGAAGUACCUCAACUCUCUUUUCAUGCUUAUCUCAAAUUCACCCUGCAUUUCCUUAGCAAAGUUCUUGCAUAAAGCCUCAUUAGUUGCACCAAAUACAAUGUCAUCCACAUAUAUUUGCACAACAAUUAAAUCAUUUAGAUAUCUCUUAAUGAAUAAUGAGUAUCGAUGUUGUGUCUAUCAUACCCUUUUUCAACUAAAAAUUUUCAAAGCCUUUCAUACCAAGCUCUAGGAGCUUGUUUCAAUCCAUACAAGGCUUUAUGAAGUUUGAAAACAUGAUCAGAUUUUCCAAAGUCUUCAAAACUAGGUGGUUGUUCCACAUAUACUUCCUCUUGAAUUAAUCCAGUUAAGAAUGCACUUUUUACAUCCAUUUAGAACAAUUUAAAAUUCAUGAAACAUGCAAAAACUAGCAACAACCUCAUGGCUUCAAUCCUAGCAAUGGGGGCAAAGGUCUCAUCAUAAUCCAUUCCUUCCUUUUGGUUUUAUCCUUUUGCAACCAACCUAGCUUUAUUUCUAACUACAUUUCCUUGCUCAUCUACCUUAUUUCUAAAUACCCAUUUUGUACCAACAAUAGGGUGAUUUGAAGGUCUAGGCACCAAUGACCAUACACGACUCCUUGUGAAUUGAUCAAGUUCUUCUUGCAUGGCCAUUAUCCAACUUUAUUCUUUUUCAGCUUCUUCAAAGUAUUUAGGUUCAAUUUGAGAUAUAAAAGCUGAAAACUCACAAGUUUCUCUAGUUGCUUUCCUAGUUUUAACUCAUUGUGAAAUGUCACCUAUUAUUUGGUCUUAUGGGUGAUCUCUUACAAAUCUCUAACUCCUUGGUAGAUCAUCAUGCUAAUUUUCUGCUAUUUGCAGAUUUUCUAGAGGUAGAAUUUCAUUUUCUCUUCUAGGUGAGCUUUCUUCAUUAUUUUUGUUGUUUUCUAAACUCAUAUCCUCCAUUUGUUUUUCUAGGACUUCUACAUCAUCAUCAUCAUCAUGAAUUUCUUUUUGUAAAGCAUUUGACUCAUCAAAAACUACAUGAAUUGAAUAUUCAACGGCUAAGGUCUUUUUGUUAAAAACUCUAUAAGCCUUUGAGUUUAAUGCAUAUUCUAAAAAUAUUGCUUCAUCACUCUUUGCAUCGAACUUCCCUAGGGGUUGUUUUCCAUUGUUCAAUACAAAGCACUUACAACCAAAACUCCUAAGGUGAGAAAUAUUUGGUUUCUUACCUUUAUAAAGUUCAUAUGGAGUCUUUGAAAUCAAGGGUCUUAUUGAGACUCUAUUAAGAAUAUAAGCUAUUGUAUUUACUGCCUCAGCCCAAAGAUAUUUGGGUAGGUUGUUCUCACAUAACAUAGUCCUAGCCAUUUCUUUAAAGGUUCGGUUUUUUCUCUCUAUAACUCCAUUUUGCUAGGGUGUUCUAGGUGCAAAAAAAUUGGGAUCCAACCCCUUUUCAUUGAAAAACUUUUCAAACUCAUCAUUUUCAAAUUCUCUUCCAUGAUCACUUCUUAUGCUAAUUAUAGCUAGUCCUUUUUCAUUUUCUACUUCCUUACAAUGACUUAAGAAUGCAUGUAGAGCAUCAUUCUUAUGAGCAAGAAAAUACACCAAAGUAUAUUUAGAAUAGUCAUCAACUAUUACAAAGCCAUAAGAUUUUCGUCCUAAGCUAGUUGUGCUUAUUAGACCAAAUAGAUCAAUGUGUAACAAUUCAAGAGGUCUAGAUGUUGACACUAUCUUUUUGGUCUUAAAGGAUGUUCUAGCUUGUUUUCCUAGUUGACAAGCAUCACAUAUUCUGUCAUUUUCAAAUUGUAAAUCAGGCAACCCAACUACUAAAUUCUUUCUAAUCAAUUUUGACAUAGUAUGCAAACUUACAUGUCCUAAUCUUCUAUGCUACAACCAGCUAUCAUUUUCAGCAUUUGCAAUAAGACAUACCUCACUAUUUACUUCAAGAUCCUCAAGAAAAACUACAUACAUAUUUUUCAAUCUUUUUCCUAUAAAUGAGAUUUUAUUUGUACUCAUAUCUAUUACUUCACACUUAGUUGAAACAAAACAUACUUUAAAUCUUUUAUCACAUAAUUGACUAAUACGUAUUAAAUUAUGCUUUAAGCCUUUAACCAACAACACAUGACUGAUUUGAGUUUGAGAAUUCUUACCAACCGUACCUAUACCAUGGAUUCUGCCUUUUGAAUCAUCUCCAAAGGAUAUGGUUCCUUCCUUUCUCUUAUCCAGCUAAGCAAACAGCAUUUCAUGUCCUGUCAUGUGCCGUGAAUAGCCACUGUCCAGCUCUUGAACAUGUCUGCUUUAAGUCCAGCUCAACCUACAAAAUAGAAUUUCAGUUUUUCUUUAUAGGUACCCAUACUUUGAUGGGUCCUUAAGUGUUAGUUGCAACAAAGGAUCCCUUAAGAACCCAGAUUUUCUUCACUUUCUGUACUCUUCUUUUCUUAAAAUAAUCAUAUGAUAAAUGACCAUGUUUACCACAAUUAUAACAUUUAGUUAAUGCUUUAGCUAAAUUUUUAUUGUGGUAUACAUUCAUUUUUGAAGAUUCAUCUUUCAAACAUUUAAGACCUGUGUUUUCAUCAAGAAUUAUUUGCAAAGUUUCAAACUUGUUUUCCAGCUCUUGUUUUAAAACCUCAAAGUCUGUUUUUGAGUGUUCUAACUCAACCUGCAAAAUAUUUCUUUACUCAAAAAUAGAAGUAAAUUCUUGUUUGAUUUGUUCCAAAUCAUUUUCAAGUGAUGCAGCAUUUUUCUUUAAUGAUUUGUAUUUUGAAAAAAGUUUUUCAAAUUCAUCAUAAAGGCACUCAUACUCAUCUUGUAAAUCAUCAUAAGAAUUAAUGCAUGGGGAUAAGGAUACCUCUGUUUCAUCCUCUUGUGCCAUUAAAUAGAUGUUUACUCUUUCCUCAGAUUUUUCAUCAUCAGUUUCAGAGCUUGAUGUGUCACUGUCCAACCAUGCAGCUACCACCAUUGCUUUCUUGGAUUUCUUAUUUUUCUUGGAAGUUUCAUCUUUCAGCAAUGGACACUCGGACUUAAAGUGACCAGGUUUCUUGCACUCGUAGCAGAUAAGCUCUUCCUUUUUGUUGGAGUCAAUUUUGUUUCUGUUUUUCCACGAGGCAUCUUGGUCUUUCUCGAAACCUCUUCUAGCUAGCCUUCGGUUUCUUCUGCUCAUUAGCUUUGGGAAUUUUCUUGCAACCAGAGCUAAUUCUUCAUCAUCAUCACAGGAAAGCUCUUCCAGCUCUUCUUCAAGGAUGCUGGCUUUAAGUGCAAUACUCUUUUUCUUUUCCUUUGCUUCCCUUCGGUAUUCUUGUUCUUCUUCUUUAAGCUCCAGCUCAUGAGUGAGAAGAGAACCACAAAUCUCAUCAAGUGUGAUGAUGUUCAGAUCUUUAACCUCUCUAAUGGCAGUCACUUUAGGCUUCCAGUUUUUUGGUAGACUCCUAAGCAGUCUUUUUACUAAUUCAUGUUCAGGAAUAGGCUUGCCUAGCUAACUCAAUUUACUUGUGAUGUUUGUAAACCUAUCAAAUAUGCUGGUGAUGUCUUCACCAGGCUCCAUUUUGAACAUUUCAUAAUUAUGUGUUAACAGAGCAAUUUUGGACUCUUUUACCUGAGAAGUCCCUUCAUGAAUUAUUCUAAGUUUUUCCCACACUUGCUUAGUUGUUGUACAGCUUGAGACUUUGUCAAAUUCAAUGGGGGUUAAUGCACAAUGUAAUGUGUUGAUUGCCUUAAAAUUUAUUUAAACUUUCUUAGUUUUAGCCUCAGUCCAUUCAGACCUUGGCUUGGGAUCAACUCAUUUGUCACUACAUUCACGGUUGAGGGCAUAAAGGGUCCAUCAGUUAUGAUGUCCCACAUUUCAUAGUCUAUAACCCUAAUAUAGAUUAACAUUCUUGUGCUCCAAUAAGGGUAAUUAGAGUCAUCAAAUAGAGGUGGUCUAUUUGUUGAUUAUCUCUCAGCCACUACUGAUUUUUGGAGAGCCAUAUGGAUCUUCCCUAAGGAUGUUAAGCCUUAAUAACAGGAAACUAGCUCUGAUACCAAUUGUUGGUCCCGAUAAUAUGUGCUAGAAGGGGGGUGAAUAGCACAAAUUGGCUCUUAACAAUAUUGGAAACUCAUUUCCAGAACUUAAGAAAAUAAAAAUAGGGUAUAAGAUGCACAGCAAUUUAGAGUGGUUCGGUCCAAGACCUACAUCCACUACCUUGAUUAUCCAACCAAGGAUUUUUCCACAAAUUCAUUAAACACCGGUGAAAUUCACUAGCUUUCACCAAGCUUUACAAUAGCUUUUACCAGGCCUAACCAAAACCUUUUACACUAGUUUUCACAGGCUCAACUCAAACCCAAAGUGGUUUUCCAAGGCUCAGUUAAAACCUUCAACAAUCAAGCUAUCCCAAGCUUGAACAACCCCUUAGAGUGACUCCCUCAUUCUAAGAAUACAAGAAAAGUAGUAAAAGAAUGUACCUAUGAUCACUGGUUGAUCUGAGUGGUACAAGAUUGAGUGCUAAAUACAAAUGUAAGGAGUAGGCGUUUAAGUGCAGACAAGUGCAGUGAAGCUUUUCUGGUUUUUUUAACUUUCUAUAGCUCAAAUCUCUUUCAAGUCUUCUAAAAACUUGUUUCUAAUUGUUGGAAAACCCUUUUAUACUUAGAGAUGCAACUCUGAUGGCAAUUUGACAGUUUAUGGCCGUUGGAAACAAUUGAGGAUGAGUUCUAGCAGUUAAUCUGUCUUGUAGUGCUUUGUUACAAAUUGCAGACAGAGAGCUCUUAGUCGACUAAGUUGGUUUUGUUUCAGGUUGCAUAUUCUGACAGAGAGUAGUUAGUCGACUGACUUGGUCGACUAAGUUGAUUCUGUUUCUCAAACUCUUCAGCUCGUCAUUCCUUCAAUUUGAAACUUGGUCAACCAAUAUUCUUCCUUGUUUCACCAAUAGGCUUCCUCCUUGUUAGAUAGUUACAUCUUGUUGUUUUUAUUCCUAUUUUUUUUAUAUACUCUUUGAGGAGUUAAAUGAUUAAUUUCAUAUAUUAAUUUUCCUACACACUCAAGUAAAGAUAUUAGACACAAAUGAAUAGGAAUAUUUUAUUAUCAUCAAAAACUAAUGGAGCCAACAUCUUUUAAUUCCAAUUUCUUUCCAUUAUCUUCUUUUACACAUGUACAAACGAAAUAUAAAGUUUGUACUCCAACGCGGUGUCCUCAUAAUAUUUAAAAUAUUUAUCUACCCACGCUAUCUUUAUUUAAUAAAGGCACUCGGGCCCCAUUAACGUUAUUUUUCUUCUAAAUUUCUUUGUUUGUCUUCUCCCUCACUUAGAUUGACCAUAUACUUCAUUUUCAUGAAAAAUUUCGAUACUGAAUAAAAUAUUAAUAUUUUUUAUUUUUUUAUUAAUAAAAUAUUAUUUUAUUUUAAAAUUUUUCACUUGUCUCUUUGGCACCCAAAAUACCUUAUUAUGCUUCAAUUCACUUCCGAAUCACUUUUGAUCUCGUAAAUUCUUCUCUGAUAAAAAUAUUAUUAUUUUUUUAUUAUUUCCUCGCGUGCGAAAUAUUUUAUCUUAAAAUACUCUUUUCACCUUUCAUCACUUUUAAACAUUCCAAUUAACCUCAAUUAGCAUCCAAUAAGCUUUAUUAGCCACCAUAUCAAAGUAUGGGAUAUUAUAGAUAUUCAUGACAUGCUUCGAGACAGACAUUGGCAACUAUUUAGUGACCAAGCUAAAGCUGUGGUUAUGCCUGUAGCUUGGGAGUUUUAUGCUAAUGGUGUUGCAUUUGUUCAUGGCAAACAAGUCCCUUUUCACAGUCAAGCUAUCAACGCAUUUUUUGAAACCCCCAAUAUUGAGAAUAAUGAAUAUGAGAAGUACUUGGGUGAUCAUCAAGAUUGCAAUGAGAUUAUAUCGACGCUUUAUGUUGAGGGAGCCCAAUGGAAGACAUUGCAUGGUGAGUCAGUUCAUUUAAAUGAAGUGCCAUGAAAAGGAGCUAAAAGUUUGGUUACACUUUGUAAUAACACAGUUACUCCCUUCCACUCAUAUCAGUGAUGUCACGAGGGAUCGCACAGUGCUUAUUUAUGCCAUUGUAACACAUAAAUCCAUUGAUAUUGGUAAGGUUAUCUCUCAUGCCAUCUUACAUACGGGCCACACUAAAUGAGAUGGUAUCAGUUUUCCUUCCUUGAUCUCAGCAUUAUGUGCAAGAGUUGGUGUGUAAUGGAGCGAUACAGAGGAGAUGCAACAACCAAAAAUUCCCAUCUCCAUGGGCACUCUUAAGUGAUUAGAGGAAUCUGCACCGAUCGCUGAUAGUUCUUCACAAGCCGCCCCCCCCCCCCCCCCGCCCACCUUCCUAGGUGGCUCCCACACGUAAUGUUGCUUAAUGAAUGGAGCGCAUUGAUCGUAGAUUAGACCGACAUGAAAGUCAAAAUCAGGCAAUUAAACAAAUGAUGAGAGCCUAUGCCAAACAUAUUGGGAUCGAUAUGACUACUUUUCCUUCGUUGCCUACAGAUUCUAACUCUGAGGGCAAUUUUGGUGGUGACGAUGCAGAGGACUUGUAGACUACGGCUUAGGAGUUAGAGGAGUAUUCUUAUCCUUUUUCUUUAAUUUUCUUUUAUCACAUUGAGGACAAUGUUUGUUCCAAGUUUGGGGGAGUGGUUUAGUAUUUUGUUGUUUUUUUUUUUUCAUUACGUUUAGUUAGCUUUAUUUUAAGCUAUGUCUUGCAUGUUUUAUUUAUUUUUUGCAUGUUUUAUUUGUGUUUAAAAAAAAUUGGUUUGAUAGUUGCACCUCAUUCAUGAUUGUCCCAAUACUAGGAUGAUAUUUCAAUUAUCUUUUGAUUCUUAGCUUUUGGGAAGCAUAUAGUUAUGAUUUAAUUUUAUGUGAUAUUCUUUUGUUAGCUUUAUUUUAGAAUGUGACUUCCAAUAAUUUAAGCACUAUACUCCUUUACUUAGAAUUUUUAUGUGAUUUAGAGAAAGUUUAUGUUGAUGAAAAAGUAUAGUGAAGUCAAGAAUUCUAGAAUUUGUUUGAUUCUCUCGCGAGGUGAAAUCUUAGAUAACACUUAGGAUAGGAAGUGAUUUAGGCCAUCUUUGGAUCGUUUGAGCCUUUUUGAGCUUACUUUGUUAUAUUUAUCCUUAGUCACCCUUUUUGAGCCUAAUUUACCUUUUCUUUGUAAUUACACAAUUGUGUUAGCCUUGCUUGUCUAUUUAAACACAGCAAUUUGAACCUUUCACCCUCUAAGUAUUUUAAUCUUUCUACAGAAUGGUUUGAGCUUAAAUAUAAAUUGAGGGAAAAAGGUGAACAAAAAAAAAAGAAAAAGUAAUGGUUGUUAGAAAAAGUAUCCCUUGUUUAUAGUUGUCAAAAAUAAGUUUGAUGGUGUUAAAAAACACAAAAAAAAAAAAAAAUAAAGUGUGUUGUACAAAGGAAAGUUUACUUCAAGUUUGGGGGUGCUAUACAAAAAAAAAAAAUUUGAGUUCUUUAUAUGUCUUAGAUUGAUUAAGUGCUUAUGGUGAAUUUGAGCCUAAAUAGAUCCUUUAUCAUACCUUGACCCUAGCCUUACAUUACAAGCUUGAUAAAGACCUACUGAUCCUUGAAUAAGUGUUAAUCUACAUUAGUGCAAAGAAAGAUGAAAGCAAACUUAUGGAUCCUAGUACUAAUCUAUUCUUAGAUUUGGCAUAAACUAAUCUAAAUUGCAUGAUAUUCUUUGUAAGAGAGCAUUCACUCACACACGGGAAGUCUAUUCAAAAAAUAAGUUUUCACUUGAAUUAAUGCAUGAAUUUAAGGAUUAGUUGUAUGUUACUUUAAGUUGGAAUUUGAGUUAAUUUUUGAGGAAAAAAUGGGAAAUCAUUAUUUGGUACUUCUAUCUCUCGUUUAAGGACUUUUAUGUUCAUUUUUCUUUUUGUGAUUCUUUUUUGCUCGAGGACUAGCAAAAUCUUAAGUUGGGGGGUGUGAUAAUUGUAUUUUAUAGAAUUAUUUUAGUCCAAUUUUGUUAUUAAAUAUUAGUUAAGUCCUCAAUUUUCAAUUAUAAUUUACUUAUUUUUAGUUGUUUUUAUAAUUAGUUUAUUUUUAAGUGAGUUAUUUUAAUUUUAUGUUAUUUCUUUUAAUUUGAUUGUUAUUUACUAGUUUUUAUAUUUUUCGUAAGAGCUAAAGGAAUUGGGCUUAAUUUUGGAAAGUAAGGUGUUGAAAGACUCGAAAGUCUGUUUGCAUAUGUUUCAGUGUUUUGGCCAUAACUCGUGCUACAGAACUCCAAAUGAUGUGAUUCUUAGACCAUUGGAAAGCUAAGAGACAAAGCUACAAAUUUCAUGAGAUCACUUUACCUAGUUCUAAAUCAAAGAGAAAGAAAAUUGCAUUGGAAAAUGGCUGGAUGUACUGUGCCGGGAAUGGAAAUCUUUGGAGAUUGACAAUUGAUUUUUUAGGCCUCUCAUUAACUUUUAAGCCCAUUUAAAUCAUAGGUCAACUUAGGGAACUAUAGGUUAAGUUUAUUAGUAUAAAUAGGACAUUUUUAAGAACAUUAGGGGAGAGAACUUUUGGGAGACUCAAGAAGCUAGAAGUUGAGGCUGAAACUUGGAUAGCAAGGUGGCAAAUUUUUGUUUUGUUUUCUUCCUUGGCUUUUAUUAUUCAUGUUGCUCUCAAUGGUUGAAAUUAUUAUAAUGUUAUUUGUCUUUGCAAUCAUAAGUAACUAAUUUUCUUUUCUAAGAUUGCAAUUGAGCUCACAUAUAAUUUAAAUUUUUAAUCUCUUUAUUACAUAUCUUUAAUGGGAUUUGAAUUGUUUAUUCCAAUUUGUUCUUAAUGCUUUUAAUUGCUUGGCCACCAAUUAAAUUGAUAUAGGAACCUAAACAAACUUGGGAAAGGGAGUUUAGUGUAGACUAAAAUUGAGAAAAUAUAUGAUCAUAUUAAUUGAUUUGCGUAUAGGAUAGGGAUAUACCUAUAGGCCGUAUGUAGCCAAAUUAGAGCCUGAACUUAAUAAACCUAUUUUAAUUUCAAUUCACAUAGGGAUGUACUGUUUUUGUCAAGCCCUACUCUAUUAUAUACUUGUCAUGUCAUUCAUGUGCUUGAUAGAAUGUUUGCAUAAGUGAAUGUAUCGAAAAAUCGUUAAAAGUCGAUAUUGUACUUAGUGAUACAGUUAAGUUGAUUAAAGCCUCAAACUAGACCAAAUAAAGAUUUUACGAUGUAUUUGAGAGUUAUUGAAUCUUAGAAUGUCUUAAUAUGAUGAUCCGGAAUUCGAGGAUUGAUUUGGAGUUAAUUCGAGAAUUUUCAUAACGUAGGGGCAAAAUGGUCAUUUUGCCAUCCAAGGGUAAAAUUGGAAUGUUGGAUGAUAUUUUGACUAAAUUUGAUUAAUUAGAGCAUUAUUUGAAUUUAAGAAGUGAAAAAUUUCAAUUUCGACAUUUUUCCAAACAUAAGGGCAAAACAGUCAUUUUAAGUGUCCAUGAGGAUGAAAUUGGAAAUUUUGGAAUUUUACACCACCAUGACACUUGUCAAACCCAUGAAUUUCACCCAUUAUUUUUUUAAGUGAGAGAUUAUAUGUGGUGGGAAUGAAAUGCUUAAUUAUUAAGUUUUUAAACAUGGACCAAUUAAAAGGUGACAAGUGUCAAGCUUUAAUAUUAUUUUAAUUGGCUAUAUAAACUCACUUAAAACCCUCACAUUCACACUCUUAUGGCCGGCCAAGCAAGGGAACAAAGAGAAAAAGAGAAGAACAAACCCUAGGAAGAAAAAAUCCAAGAGAAAUUGCUGGAUUUUAAGAAAUCAAGCAAGUAAAGGUAAGAUUUCUUUUAUUUUAGCUUGUGAUCUACCUUUCCCAUGCAUUCUUUUUCAUUCUCCAUGGCUAAAAUUCAAGUUUUCAAGAGGGAACCUUUUCUGGCCAAACCUAGAGAGAGAAGUUUUGGGGAUGAAUUUUGCUAGAUUUUAUAAUAUUCUAGUGUUUUUAGUCAUUUUGUGAUGUUUGGAAAGAAAAACAAGCAAGAAAAUCACAUGUUCUUCAACCACCCUUAUUUGGCCGAAUUUUCUAUAGAGCAUGUUGAUGAUGGAUUUGGUUGUAAUUCAUGUUAUUUAGCUAGGAAUUGAUGAAUUAUGAUGUUGGAUAUCGAAACCGGUUAUUGAAAAGUAUAGUUCCUUUAGAAAAUGGCUUGAUGGAAAUUGAGAAAAUCAUAGUAUAUGGACUUGGAUUUGAUUCCUAAUGAUAUAUAUGGAUUUACAAGACUGUGUAGACAUCGAUUAGUAUGUUAGUUCGGAAUCGGAAUGAAUUUCGAAAAAUGGUGAAGUUAGUCAAAAAUCAAGUUCAUUGUAAUGCUUUGGUGUAUUAGAUUAUUGGACGUGUAAUGAAUAUAUUUGGAGUUGAAUCGGAUGUUUUGUUUAUAUCAAUGGUGUAUAGUUCGAAUUAAGUUGAAUACAAAUUCCUUUCGAUCACAAUUGAACCUACAUAGAACACCGUCUUUAAGUGACUAUCUGAACAUUUAUCAUUCAACUUCAUGCAUUCAUAUAGAGUUUGAAAUAGUUUUAUAACAAUUUGACACCAAUGUAUUGAAUUACGUAUCGUGUAUUAUGGAUAGGUGUUGAACCCUCCGAUAAGGGUAGAGAUAGCGUGCCGAAGGACCGCGAAUAGGAGUACUCUGACCACUCCAAAUUCCCAUUAUAGUGAGUAAUCAGAUGUUCAUCUUAAUUAUCUAAAGUGGUUUAUACUUGUUUUAAGAUUUUAAAGAAUAAGGCACUUAAUUUGCAAAUUAUUAUGUUUUACAUUUUAAAUAUUGGUUAAAUGAAUGAGAUUUAUAAAUUAUUCUGAAACUAAAUGUUGAUUUUUGAAAUAGAGUAAGUGGAGGUUAUACAUUCGUAUUAUAUAUAUAUACAUGAUUUGAAUUAAUGGCUUAUGAAAUUGUGGUAGCAUGAAUGGUUGAAAUUGUGGUUUUGUGAAUUAUAUAAAUUGUUUUGCUUUACAUUGACAGGUUGGAUAGUACUAUGUUAGCCAUGUUAUCCUGCCAAAAUUUUAUUGAUUUGGUGGGUUAUGUAUUUAGCUUACUGUAGUGGGCGGGUUUUCGUAGACUAGCCUAUUAGAGGGGCACGAUAAACCCCGUUAUAUUUACCUUAGUACGAGAGGCGCGGAGGGUAUCUCCUAAGGUAAAGUUUAGAGUUCACUUCACGCCGAAGCACCACGUGAAAGUGAAACUCAGCCAACGCCAAGGAACGGCUAUGUUUUUAAACGUGAAAACAUAUUUUAUGUGUAUAUGUCUUUUUAACUGCCUUGGCAAACUCGGCUUGAUGCCCGGCGCAAGGCAUCAUCGAGUACUAAUUUUUGGCAUGAGCCAAGUUUUUAAGAAAGUCAUAACGCUUGUUGAUUUUCUUGAUGAAAUGUGAUUGUUUUUACAUGGAUUGAAAUGGGCUUUGAUGUUAUGAAUUAUAUAUAUAUAUUGAUGAGAUGAUUUAACUGUCUCCAUUUACUCGACUUUAGAUGCUACAGACGAACUCUACUUACUCACUGAGUUAAUAAAACUCACCUUUUCUUUUUUUUAACCAUUUUAGGCUCAGGAUAGUCUGUAGAUAGCUGAUUUCGUCGAUGAUCUACUUUUGGAUUUACAUCCUUAGAAAUCGAAGGUCUACCUUCUUGUACAUAUUUGUUUAUUUUGGAAGCCCACAUGUCAUUGUAGAAUAUUUUGUAUACCUGGCUACGUGUGCCACUGUAUGUAUGAAUUUAUUUUGCUUUUACGUUACAAAAAUUAUUUACGCAGAGUUCUAUAAAUAUUAUUUUAUAAGAAAAUAGAAUUUUUUUUAAUAUUUUUAUUUAAUUUGAAUAGCUAUAAUUUUACUUUAAAUUGAUGAAUUAGAUAAUGAAACUUAUUUUUAGACAUGAAAUGGAUGCUUAUUACUCAUAUAUCAUAUUUUUACCAAGGUUCAAAAAUUUUGGAUAAAAUGACCAAAAUACCCUUGUGUAGUAGAAAUUACUUUUUGAUUGUUUUUUAUUUGAAAUUAGUCUAUAUUUCUUUAAAACAUGAUAUUUAAUAACUGUUGCUCACAAGGGAGAAGUAAAAUUGAUGCGAAAACCUUGCGAGGUUUCGAUUGGUAUUCCGGGUAAUAAAUGUCAAUCGAGACAUCGCGGCAAUUAUCACAGACUCGAUGGGAAUUUCGGGUCGUGACAAUUUUGGUUAAAAUAGAUAUUUUUAUAAGAUAAGUCAGGAGACCCAUAUAAAUAAUUUAGGACUCUAGGUUAGCAAUUCAACCCAUUGAAAUAAGUUAAGUAAGAGAGGUAAGAUUUAGAUGAAGUGUGAGGGAUGUUGUAAUCCUAAGCUUGUUUGAUUUGAUAUUUACUUAAGUUAUUAUUAUUUUGAAUUUUUGUAGUUUAAAUUUUGGUUAAGUAUUUUUGAUUAGUUAAUUUAGUUAUUUGAUAUUGAUUAUUUAGAUAAGAUUAAAUUAUUCUAAUUUUAGUACUUAGUAAAAUUUUAAGUCAAUUCUUGUGGGACGGAUACUUUGCGCAGUAGAAUUUUAACUGAUAGUUGGGAAAAUGAAAAAAACCCCUCAGUUAAUCAUCCUUCCAUUGUUGCCCCUGAUAUUAAAAUGUUGUCUAGUGAUGAGUGUUGGGAAAUCCUAAGAUAAGUUGACUUUUACCCAACAUUUCAAAUUGAGUUCUUCUUGAAUAAUGCACUUUUGGUAUAGCCUUCAAAACAUGUGUAACAUUUGUGAGUUCCUCAUUCUUGUCCUUUGUUAUUGCAUCUUGAACCAAACAAGCUACAAUCUCACAGCCCAAAUCUUGACCCAUGACUGGUGCAUGGACCCAAUAGGAAUGGCCCACUGGGCCCAAGCAAGCCUUUCUAUGAAAACUUGUUCAUUUGACCCUCUGUCCCUCAUUUACCGCUAAAGUUCUUAAUUCAUAGUUUUCAAAAAUAAUUUUUUCUCAAGAAUAAAUCAUGGUAACCGAACAUAUUCCAUUCAAAAAAUAAUAUUACGAUUUGCCAACCUGUGGCGACAUUAUUAUGCAAACCAAACAUACAGUGUUUACAACAAAUCUCAUGAAUUUCAUUUAAAUAACCAUAUACACAUACAAAAGACCUUGACUAUCAAUGGAGUUAUUUUGGCGUGGGUACUAUCAUGAAGUGUCUUGGUAAACCUACCAUACGAUGAACAGGAAGAAGCACCUCUACCCAAGAUUCAACUACCUUCGAACUUGAAAACUAAAUAUAAAGUUGAAAAGAAUGAGUAUAAACCUAGUGAGUAAACAUAGGAAGGGAACAAGCAUACGAUACGAAAGGUUUUUGAAAACAUGAUGCACUCAUUUUAAAAUCAUGCAAUUUGUAUAUCAUAAACACCUUGAUACCAUGUUGACAUUUAACUCAUUUUAAAACACUUAGGAAAUUCAAUGUUCAAUAAUCAAUGCAAUCACAUCUCAUUUUAUAAACAUCCCUGCUCUACAAGGUAGGUACACAAGCGUGUAAGAAUUCAUGUAUACAUUUUGUGUGUGUGUAUAUAUAUAUAUAUAUUCAAACAUUCAUCAAAUAUAUCAAGAUCAUUCCCACACUAGUCAACAUGGCUCAACGCAUACAACCACCAGCUUAUCAGCUCAUGUGCACUCCCACACCACACAUAGCUGGAAUCAUCAUGUGCACUCCCACACCGCACAUGGCAAAUAUCAUGUAUGCAUACUAUCAAACCCUGUUCUAUAAAAUAAUUACGACGUCAUUUACAUGCUCAAUAGAAUGUUUACAUAUUUAGGAAGUUCAAGAAAUCAUUAACAAACGAUAUUGCCCCUAAUGGUACCAUUAAGUCAAUUAAGCCUCGAACUAAUUCAAAUAGCAAUUUUAAGGUGAAAUUAAGAGUUUCAUAGCCCAGGGAUGACUCAAAAUGGUAAUUUGGAGUUCGAGGAUCAAUUUGGAGUCAAACCGAAAUUUUCACUAUCUAGGGGCAAAAUGGUCAUUUGCCACCUGGUGACAAAAUGAGAAUUUUUAGAAACGAUUUUUUUGGCCCCAUUUGACUUAUUGGAGUAUGAUUUGAGUAUUGGAGUAUGAUUUGAGGUUUAGAAGUGAAAAAUUUUAAUUUUGGUAUAAUUUGGAGUAUAGGGGCGAAAUGGUAAUUUUGCCAUCCUAGGGGCAAAACCGUAAUUUUGAACCUCCAGAGCAUUUUUCCAGCACAAGGUCUUCACCCAUCAUCAUUUUUGACCCUUGAAUAAUGUGUGGUGGAGAUUUAAAGCUUAAAAGAUAAGAAUUAAAAAAAAUGGACCAAUCAUGGAAUGUCAUGUGGUAAGUUUAAAUUAUUAUAUUAUUUAACUAUAAAAAUCAGCCCACACCACCAUUUCUCUCUCAUAAGGGUCGGCUUUGGCAAGAAAAUAAAGGGGAAAAGAAGAACAUACCCUAGGUGGAAAGAAAUUCAAGAGAAAAGUGUGAAUUUUCAAGAAAAUCAAGUGGAAAAAGGUGAAAUUUUUUUAUUUUAGUUUAUGAACUAUUUUUUCUAUGCAUUUUCCCUUAAUUUCCAUGGUUGAAAAGCAUGCUUUCAUGGUGAAUUCAUGGCUGGUCAAAAUGGGUAUGGAGAGAGAAUGAUCUUGGAUUGGUUUGAUUUUUAGGUAUGUUAGUGUUUUUAGGUGAUUAAUGAUGUGUUGCAUGAAAACAAGUGAAGAAAACCACCAAAGGUUUAGUGUCCAUCAAUAGCCAAAUUCUCUAAGUGAAUAAUGAGGAAGAAUGGGAUGUUAUUCUAGGUGAUUUGAUUAAGAAAUAAUAGUUUUUGGUGUAGGAAUUAAUAAAUUAUGGAGAGAAAAUUAAGUAGGAAAAAUCAUGGAGUUAGUGUACCAUUGUUAGCCGAAAGUUCCAAGAAGAAAAGUGAAGAUAAAUUUUGCCUAAUUGUGUGUUAAUUAGUUUGUGUUUGGUGAAUUGAGGGAUUGGAAAAGAAAUGGAGCAAAUUGGAGUGAAAUUGGACACAUUGGCCAAUUUAUGGAAUGAAAAAUCGACUUAGGCCAAUACCGGGUCUAGAUGGCUACCCGUGCAUUUUUUCAUUUCAUAUCAUGCAUAUAUAUAUAUAUAUAUAUAUAUAUAUAUAUAUAUAUAUAUACNNNNNNNNNNNNNNNNNNNNNNNNNNNNNNNNNNNNNNNNNNNNNNNNNNNNNNNNNNNNNNNNNNNNNNNNNNNNNNNNNNNNNNNNNNNNNNNNNNNNNNNNNNNNNNNNNNNNNNNNNNNAUAUAUAUCGAGCCUGAAAUAGCUUAUGACUGUUAGACACAAUUUAAUUGGAAUAUGUGUCAUGGAUUAUGGCUAGUUGAUGAGUCAUUGGAUACGGGUAAAGAACUGUACCCACGGACUGAAAAUAGGAGUAUUUCUACUCCUAAUACUAUGAGUGGACAAUUUAUCGUCUUAAAUAUCUAGAGUAAUUAUACUUGUUUGAUGCUUUUAUUGAAUGGUGAGUUUAAAUUAUAAAAUAUUAUGUUUUUCAAUUAAAAUGUUUUUUAAUUAAAAUGAGAUUUAUACUGUUUUUGAAAUUAAAUAUUGUUUUGGGAAAAUUGAGUAUAUGAAGACUGUGUUGAAUUUAUGAUUUUAUAUGUUAUUGAAAUUGUGGCUUAUGACACUAUGGUAGCAUGAUGGCUAAAUUUUUGGGGUUGGCAUGAAAUAUAUGAACAGUUUUGGAUUGGUCUCGGUAGACUGGAUUAAAUUUUAUUCGCCAUAUUAUACUACUAAAAAUUUUAUGGGUCUGGUGGCAUAUUAAACGAUCACUGCAGUGGUGGGGGUUUUCGUGGACUGCCUAUGAAAAAGGCACGAUAACCCCAUUAUAUACUUACCUCCAAGGGAAGAUGUUGGAUAAAGUAUCUCCUGAGGUAAGAUUUGAGUGCACCUCACGUUCGGGCUACCAUGUGAGAGUGAGACUCAGCCAACGCUAAGAAAUGGUUGUGUGUCAAAUUCGAAAGCAUGUUUAUGGGUAUGGGAUAUUUAACAGCCUUGGCGAUCUCAGUGGGAUACCUUGACGAAGGUACCCGCGAGAAUG
RNAcentral lists this long non-coding RNA (57124 nucleotides) under Theobroma cacao (cacao). Its description in RNAcentral is "long non-coding RNA (TCAC_LNC005919)". Lineage: Eukaryota; Viridiplantae; Streptophyta; Magnoliopsida; Malvales; Malvaceae. The record is from RNAcentral.